GAUUGUUCAAGGCUUAAUUAAUUGUGUGCAUUCCCUUUUUUUGUCCUAAUUAGCAAAUUAUUUGCUAAGAUAGUGAUUGCUGUAGUAUAAGCAAAUUCCCAUAUAAUUUCUUGUAUUAAAUAAGGCUUCACAUUUUUUAAGCUGAUUCAAAAUUCCCCUAAAGCCUAUAUUUUCUGUUUAUUUGGUGACUGCUUCUAUAACAAUUUGGGGGUAUGGAAUUAAGACCAAAUAAAGUUUGUAAUAAAAACCUAGAGUGUUGAAGUUUUCUUUUGCAGUGGUUUUGUCCCUAUUGUAAUUGGAUUGAUGAAAUGACUGGCAUCAAACUGUGAGUUGACAAUAGAUGUUCAUUUGAAUAUCCGAUUGCAAAUGGUAAUAUCUACAGGAGAAGCUUCCUGGGAUGAGCACCUUGAGUAUGGUUAAGGAUUUUGUGGAUAAAAACCAAGCAAGUGGUAUUGGCUCUUAUGACCUGGCCUUUGCUUAUCCUUGGAAGGUAUUCAAUGGUCAAGGUAUGAAUAGUUUAUACUUAGCUUUCCUACUUGUUUUGAUAGGUAUAUUAGCUUAAUUAAUUUUAACAUUGACUAGUGUUAUUCAUUACUUGUAAAGAUAAGGAUAGUCUUGCAAUUCCAAUUCACUGCUCUCUUCCACUCCAUUACCUGCAUUCAUUGAGGUUUUCAUGGAUAAUGUUCAUUCAGAGUCUGCAAUUUCCUGUCCUUGGAUCAGUUUUUGAGUCUUCCUCCUUUUGUUUAUUGAUUGCAUCAAAGUAAACAUACGUGAAUUCACAUUUUUCAACAUGGUUUUUUAUAGUCCUGAUUUUUAUCUAGCAUUGAACAUGAUUAUGGUGUAGCUGUUUUUCAAGUCUUAACUAAAAUACAGAGUAGGUCUUUUCUGACUCAACCGAUCCUUCAUUCACAAAAUUUUGCAAUAUUUAUGCCAUAUACAAAUAUGAAAGAAAAGGCAAGAGGUCACACUUGUACUUGACAAAUUUGACUGUGACAGAGAGAGGUGGCAAACGCACCAGUUUAUUCUCAUCACUGGACUCUACAUCAUAAACUUAAUGUCAGUGUUACUUUAACUGUCAUCCACAAGAGAGGUUGUGUUAGUAUUUUAUUUUUCAUGCAAAUGUUAGGAUACAUUCAAUGGUUCUGAUCAUUAUGAUUGUCCUGUUGGUUCCCUUUCUAUCUAUAUUCAAUUUGGGGAGAUUUGCUACUUUCUGGAGAUCACUCAAUAUCAAUCUCUCAUUCUAUUUGGUUUUGUACAAAAACUCAUUUUCUUCUUGUGUGGAUUCAAGAAGAAGCCGAGAUUGAGCUUGGUGCGGACUCCAAGUGUGCUCCGGAAGAUGAAGGUAAGAAGUUGAAAGUGAAAGUACUACUUAAGUGGUUCGGGAAGGAUUGGUUGGCUUGAGUUAGGUAAAACCUUGUACUCAGUUUUUAUUCUUUAUAGUGGAGUUUUUCAAUCGGUGGCAGACCCGUGGUUUUUGAUCUAUUCGGAGGUUUUCCAUGUUAAAAUCCGGUGUUAAUUGUCUCUUUCUCUCACUCUACACUUUGAUUUAAUUUCUGUUUUUGAAUGGAAGAAAUACGAGGUGAUAUAAGUGUGAUGAUCCAUGAAAUAUCCUUAAUAAUUUUUCUGCUCAUUUUGGUUAAUGAUAUAAUGAAGUAAAUUGAUACUAGUUGAAGAGAUAAUUGUUCUUUUGAUUUAUUUUUAAGGAUUGAUGAAACAUUUGCAUGUGCAUUGCAUUUAUAAAUUGUUGGGAGACUGUUAAUGCAUACAUUCUUGCUUGUGGAUGUUAUGCUUUGUUGAAUAGUUGUUGGAAGAGAAAUUUCUUGACAUUGAGAAAGUUUAAAGUUAGGUAAUCUUUGUUGGGAGAAUUUUUUAAAUUGUUCUACAAUACCUAUUCACCUCCCUCUAGGUGUAUUCCAUUGAGAUUCACCGUUUCAUGUUGCAUGUGUAGGGAAAUGAAGAGAUGGCUGUCCUCUGCAUGUGAGUGUGGUCUCUAUUUGGGUUGGGCUUGGGUGGUAAUGAUGUCAGUAUUAAAGGUGUGUGUAAUGGAUAGGAAAGAUGCAUGAAUGAGUGUGUUUUGUGUAAUGGAGUGCAUUUAGAGGGAAAGUAGAAAAAGCCACAAAUAUGAGGAGCUUUCCGCCACAUCAAUGCCUGUUAAAAAAUUCGAAGUGCAGGCAGCAAACCUAUGCCUUACAACGGGAAAGGGGGUCCCUUACCCACCAGGACAAUUUUAACCUUAUUGUUAUAUAUCCACAUAAUAUAUAUAUGAAAUAGUAAAUUAAAAUUUUAGUAAAUAAAUUAAUUUGAAUUAUUUAUUUUUAAAUUUCAUUUAGUUUAUAAUUGGAAACAUCAAAACUAUUUUAAUAAUCUCCCUAAUAAAUCUUUUUUAAAAAUCAUAUAUACUUAUCUUUUAUCAUUAAAUAACUAAUAUAAAUUACAGAUAAAUAUAUAUAAUUUAGCAUAAAUUAAUAUUAUAUAUGAUAAAACUUCAAAAUUUAUCUCAAAAUUCUCUUUAAAAGAUAACAUUAGUUUAAAUAUUAAAAAAAAACUUCAAAAUUCUUUUGAAGUGUUGUAAAAUUUGAUUUUUUUUUUAAAUUAACAUAUUGUAAGAAAUAUUUUUAAAAAUUAUUUUUUUGCAAAAUCCCAUAGGAGGGUGGGUGUGAACAAAGCCCAAAUAGUGUCAUUCAACUAAAAUGAUUGGUCUAGAAAUUUGGAUGGAGUUUGAUAUAUAAGGCUUAGGAUGGAAUAUAUCCUUUAAUACAUGACAUGGCAUAUAUCAUCUUCAUGCUUAUUUUUAGAGUUAUGUUGACAUUAUUGAAAGUAAACCACCAUCUAACCAUCACUAAAUAAAUAAAAUAAAAUAAAACAAAAUGAAAGUGAUAUAUAACCAUAUUCUCCAUGCUAACUUAAUAAAUUUUGAUAUUUGAAAGUAUAUUAAAUUACUAUUUUUUUAAUUAUUAUUAUUUUUGAUAUUUUUAUCUUAAAUACAUAAAAUAAGAAAAAAAUAUAAUAAUAAUUUUAUAGAUGUUUUUAAAAUAUAUAAAAAAAUUAAUUUAGCACUUAAUAGUAAUAAAAAAAAAUGAGUUCAUACUUAACAACAUUCAAACAAGAAUAAAGAACAAAUAAUCUAAAUCUUUAAUAACAAGUAGAAGAAAUUCAACUAACUAAAAUAAUAAAUAAACAUAUAUAGUUUGACUUAAAAUUUGACAAACUACUUUAAUGACUUAAUAAUUGAAUUUACAUGAAUAAAUAUAUUAAAUAUGUUUAAUAAAAUAGCUUAAUAUUAUAAUUUAAUUUAAAAAAAUAGUUUAUAGUAAUAAGUUAAAAUAAAAUAAUUUCUUUUCCAAAUCCCAAAAAUACUUUAUUUUAAUUUUUUAUGUCUCUUUCUUUUCUUGUGUCUCUCUUAUGACCUCAUAAUUAUUGAUAUCAAUAAAGGUAAAUAUAACAAUUUAAUAGUAUAUAUUUUUUUGAGAAAUUAUUUUUAUAAAUGAUCUUAGUACUUAAUAAUAAUAAUUUGAUAACAAGUUUUAAGUUGAAGUCUAUAUUAAGUAUUAAUUUUUAUCAAAUGCCACCUAAGUCUUAAAUCAUCAUUUUAUAUUUUAUUUACUUAUAUGUCAUUUUAUUAUGAUUAAAGGGUGUUGUACACGUGUCCAUGUUCAAAAUUAAUGAUAAAAUUUAUAUUUCAAUAAAUGAAUUAAUAUUUCAUUAAAUAUUUAGAUGAAAAGGGGCACAAAUUUUAAAUGACCCAAAGGUCAAUCAUGUUACAAUUUUUUAGAAUAUAUGGAAAUCCUACACAUUUUAUAAUAGUUAAAUUUGUCCACCUAGCUAGAAGGAAGUAAUAAAUAAAUAAAAAAUUUAAAUUAUUCCCACCAUCACCAACUCAUCAAUAAACAAGUUGGAAAAAUGAAAUCACCUUUGAGAGAGUCCAUAGGUGAUAUAACAAAUUUAGCUUUCUAUCCCUACCAUUUCUUAGAAGAAUGAAGUUUGGAGAGAUGACAUAAAUAAUAAUCGCGUUAAAAAAUAUAAACGGUCAUGUAACACAUUUAAACUCAUUUAAUAAUCAAUAUUAUUAUAUUUAAUAAUUAAGUUGAGUUAGAUUUUGUAUAAGGUUCUAUAAUUAAUGUUUAAACUAUAUAUAUUUAUAACUCAAUUGACUUAUUUAUUUUAAAAAAAAAUUAAAAUGGGUUAAAUAUGGAUUAAAUAAUUUAGAAUUAUAACUAGAUUAAUAAACAUUAUUAUUAAAUAGGUCGAUUAAGGUGAAAUUUGUAUUAUACAGAUUAAUCCAAAUAUUAUUGUAGACCCCUCCCGGGGAGGAGUUUUUGUGGUGAUUUUUCUAUCAUGAUUACCCUUCUCACCACCCCGGGAUUUAAGCUGAUGGGGGCGGCUAGAUUAGAAAAACAGCAGAGAGUGGGUGAGGGUGGUAGAAAAAAAAAAAGGCGGGAAAGGAAAGAUAGCUAAGGGGAAGGGAUUGGCAGAAAAGAAAAGGAAGAAAAAGAGAGGCGGAACAAGGGGGAGAAGAACGAAAAGGAAGCUGGUGUUGGCUGGUAGAGAGUCCCCUUGCAGGUGCGCACCUCAUGUCUUUCACCUUCCAUUAUUCUCCUAUCCUUCUUGACGUUUUCUUAGUUCUAGUCCAAAACCAUUAUUUGCUUGCUUUGGUUAAAUUUAGUCCUCUGCAUACAUGCUUUGUUCUUGUUUUCUUUUUUUCUUUGCUUCGUUAAUCCCACCCAUCUUGAGACCAUGGAUCCAAGCGCGAAACAUAGGUUUGUUUGCCUUAGUUGUUUGGCUAGCUGGGGCCCUUCUUUUUAUUUUCUCGUAGCUUCCUCUCUUUCCCCUGUUUCAGAUGUCCAUCUAAGGGGAGCCGUGCAAUGGAUUUAAAUCGAUAAAAGGGGUUCUGGACCCAUUGAACUUGAGGAAUCAGUUGCCCAGACGUUUUCUUAUCAGAGAGAAUGCCAACCCCGAAGUCGAGAAUGCCUUGAAGGAUCCAUACUCGAACCCUGCCCUCCAAGCGGACGUCUCUAGCACUCGAAAGGCUGUUGCCACGCAUAUCCCCAGCAGUCCCUUUUUGUUCAACAGCCCCAUAUCUGCACACCCACGUCCCAUGCAUGGCCGUCAUCCUCACCUAUCUUCUUCAUCACCUCUUUCUCCCUCUAACCGCCAUACCCGUCUCCACAAGGACUCCCAAAGCCACCCUUCUACACGCAUGGAGUCCAAGCACGCCUGCUGCCCCUCCUUGCAUCUCCUUGCUGUGCGCACCACGUCGGCGAGGCGCUUGCUCGCCUCACCAGCCGCUUGCUCGCCUCACCAGCCGCCAUCACUCGCAUCAGCCACCUUGACGGUUGCACCUUCUGGUUGCCGCCGAACCGCCUCCACGACUCCUCUCUCUAUCUUGCCGCCGAUGGCAAAGGCUCCCUCUGAGGAUGAUGUUGCGUUCAGAGGGGUGAGCUGUGGAGAAGAUGAAUAUUUGGGCUUGAGUUGGAGCCCAAUCCAAGCAUGUGAUGGAGUUAGAGUUUGGGGCCUGUCCAAGAUGAUGGAUAUGGGCCUGGUUGGAAGCCCAAGCCCAGUUGCAUUAAUGAAGGGCCUCAUGCCCCCUGUGCUAUUCACUCUCAUGGCCCAUACCCAUUCCAAGAUAGCCCAUUUGGCCACUUCAUUUCUAAAUAAUUUUUUUUUUUAGAAAAAGAAAAGAAAAGGAAGACCUCUAAAUUAGUAAUUUAUUAAGUCAUUCAUUCAUUUUUAUUUUUACCUUAUUUCAUUUUUACCAGUUUAGUUAACUCAAACUUAAAGGCAUUUAAAAGACAAAUUGUUAUUGUUAAUUAAUUUUUUAUCUUGAAAUUCAUACUGUUCAAAUUCAUCCGUUUAAAUAUUAUGUUUGUCAUUUAUUAUUAUUAUCAUUUCGCAUGUACCUAUUUGCCAUCUUUUUAAAAUCUCAUUCAUCAAAGUUAAAUUCUAAUCCUUGAAAAACCCCGUAUCCUAAUCUAAUAUUUCAAUAAUCCAUUUAAAUCUUAUUUUCAUCAAUCAAGAAUCAUUAUCAUAUAUUAUCUAGCUAUUUAAAGUAUAAAGCUUUCAAAGAAAUUAGGUGUCUUAAUUUAAUUCUUCAAACACUCGUUUAAAACUUAUGAUCAUCAAUUGGAAUUAUUAUCUUAUAUUCACCUAUCCAUCUAGUCUAGUCUUUCAAAAAUCCUAUGUUUUAAUUUAAUUCUUCAAGUAUUUGUUUAAAUCUUAUUUUCAUCAAUUAGAAUUAUUAUCCCAUGUUCAUUUAGUUAUUCAAAAUCUAAACCUUCAAAAACCCUGUCUUAAUUUAAUUUUUCAAUAAUUCAUUUAAAUCUUAUUUUCAUCAAUCAGGACUAUUAUCCCAUAUUCAUCUAUUUAUUUAAAACCCAGUUCUUCAAAAAUCUCUUGUCUUAAUUCAAUUUUUCAAUCCUAAAAAUUUUACAAUUCGUCUAAAUUUUAUCCUCAUCAAUUAGAAUCAUUAUUCCAUAUCUAUUCAAAGUCCAAUCUACCGAAAACCCCAUGUCUUAAUCCAAUAUUCAAUCCCAGAAAUUCCAUUAUUCGUCUAAAUGUUAUUUUGGUUAAUUAGGAUUCUUGUUCCAUAUCUAUUUAUUUAUAUAAGGUCCAAUUCUUCAAAAAUCCCAUUUCUGAAUUAAAACUUCAAUCCCAAAAAUCCUACUAUCCAUCUUUAUUCGCCUAAAAUAUUAUUCUCGCUAAUUAGUAUUAUAAUCCCAUACCUACUUAUUUAUUCAAAGUCAUAUCCUUUAAAAAUCCAACGCCCUAAUUCAAAUUCUCAAUUAGAAAAAUUCCACUAUUCUCUUUUUUAUUCGUUUAAAAAUUAUUUUUGUUAAUUAGUAUUAUUAUUCCAUAUUUGUUUAUUUAUUUAUUUCAAUCGUUAAAAUUUAAUUAUUCAAAACCGGAUUUCCAAAUUUAACCUUGAGACUAAAAAAUUCCAUCAAUCACUUUUAUUCAUUUAAUAUCAUCUUUGUUAUCAUUAUUGUAAAUUCCAUGUUUACUUAUUUUUUUCUUCUAAAAAUUCCAAUAAUUAGAGUUCAAUUAUUCAAAGGUCCGACCUUCAAAAUUUAAUUUUUAAAAUCCCACUAUUCACUAUUCACCCAUCCAAAUAUCGUUUUGAUUAAUUAGUAACAUUACUCCAUACUUACCCAUUUAUUUCUCUUAAAAAUUUCAAUCAUUAAAGUCCAAUUCUUCAAAAUUCCGAUUUUUAAAUUUAGCUAUUUGAAAUUCCAAUUGUCCUAUCUCCGAACUUAAUUUCCAGUUUCCUAUGCUCCAAUUCCCGUAUUUGCCCCACUACUUAUUAUCAUUAUUAUUAUUAUUAUUAUCAUCUUAUUCAUUAUUUCUAUAAAUUCUGCCUUCGAAUGAUUUCUAAGAUAUCCAAUUUUUACACAUCAACUUUCAUAAUUUCUACGCCUCAAAUAACUUACGAUUCUGAUCUCUUUCAAAAUUUAACUCCUAUAAUCCCAAUUUUCGUAACUUAAUUAUUCUUAAAAAUCCCAAACUUUCAAAUAAUUCUUCAAAAUCCCAAUUCUCUUUCAAAUUUAAUUUCUAAAAUUUCUCAUUCUUACAUUUAAUUCCUAAGAAUCCAAUUUUCAAAUAAUCUCUAAGAUUCUGAUUCUCAAAUGAAUUUCAAAAAUCCAGUUGUCCUUCGAACAAUUUUAAUCCUUGUUUAGUGAUGCAUGUGAUUCUUCAAAAUCCCAAUUCUCUUUCAAAUUUAAUUUCUAAAAUUUCUCAUUCUUACAUUUAAUUCCUAAGAAUCCAAUUUUCAAAUAAUCUCUAAGAUUCUGAUUCUCAAAUGAAUUUCAAAAAUCCAGUUGUCCUUCGAACAAUUUUAAUCCUUGUUUAGUGAUGCAUGUGAUUUGUUUUGUGCUCUAUAUGGCGUACUAACCCUCUCUAUUGAUAGCACACGGUGGCUCGUUGCCCAAGUAUGUACCCAUUUUCCCUUUAAUCGUUGUCUAUGCAUGUCUUGGCUCUUAUGUGUGCACGAUCAUUCAGGAUAUUCAUUCAUUUACUCGUCAAUUGCCACGUCAGCUUCAUUUUAUUAGUAGAGACCCGACUUUAGGGACUUAGAGGGGUGCUAUGGUCUUUUACCGUACCUUCUCGAUAAGUAACCUGACCCUCGAAUCCGAUCCGGUUUUUCACAGACCACCUUUUCCAAAGUAAGGAGUCACACUUAGGGUUUUCUUUCUUAUUUUAUUUACCCUUUAAAAACAAAAUAAAAAUAAGUGGCGACUCCAAGUCAUUUUCUUAAUAAACUAAAAAUCAAUUUUUCAAAAUAAAAAAAAAUCGAGCUCGCCAUCAAGUGGGAAACGCAUGAGUCGAAAUGUGGGGUCCACAAUUAUCUAUUUAUUAAACAAAUUAUAUAGAUUGAUACAAAUUUGAUCUAAAUAUGAUGAUAUACAAUCUAAAUUAGCUAAAAACAUGUUGGAUUCGAAUCAUGUUAGCAAAUUGUAUCAAGCUUUACUAGCCCUAGGAAAAAUACUACCAAUUUGUUUUAUUCUAUUAUUAUUUUAGUUUAAAAUUUAUUAUUAAUUAAAUCUAAUUAUUAAUUAGGUGUACAAAUUUGACUAUUCAAUUUUGUGCUUAUUUGUUGACGAAUGGGAAAUGGCUUAGAGCUUUCAAUUGGUCCACAACAAACAAGUUGACCCAGUGAAAAUUACCCCGAGUUUGUCAAUGUGGCAAGUUUUUGAAUACUAAAUAAUUAUAUUCCAUUCAAUUAAAAUUUUAAAAUAAGUUUUGGUCUUACAGAAUUAGUAAAUAAAAUUAAUUAAGAAGUUGACCAACAACGACAAUCAGGAGAACAUGAUGAGAAGGAAGCUAAAUGAAUGGAAAAAUGAACGAAAAAAGAACAAUAGAGAAACACUUGUGGAUGAUGCACCCCUAACAUUUUGGCCUGCGACCUAUAAAAUGUAUCCACUUCUGCUGAGGUUGAGGGUUGAGCUAAGAGCCAGCCACUCCACCAAUCAAUUGGUCAACUUGUUUCUCAUACUUGGAGGAGCAAAGUAUAGAAAGGAGACUGCUCAUCAAACAACAAUGGCCGAUUCCGCUACUUCCAGCCUUCACUUGAGUACAGAGUCCAAUCAGGUUGGAGCUGAAGAUGGUAGCCUGACCUAGAUCACAUUCAUGGAUCCUAAAUUGUACGUCGCUUCAGCAGAUGGUGACAUCCAUGUACUUGAGCAAUAUGAUAUUCAUGUCCAGCUAACCCCAAAAAAGAACACAAUCCUUCAUGUUGUAGCCCAAUUUGGCCAAGCGGACUGCGUUAAGUGGAUCCUUCAGUUGCCUUCUCCUUCAUUACUAUUGCAACAACCCAACGAGAAAGGUGACACUCCGCUUCACCUUGCAGCCAAAGAAGGGAAUUUGGCAAUGGUGAAAAAUCUGAUCGCCGCUGCCAAACAACUUCAAGAGGGAGACAUGGAGAGAGGGGGUACAGCAGUUUGUAAGGUGAUGUUGAGGAUGAAAAAUGAGGACAAAGACAUAGCCUUGCAUGAGGCAGUGAGAUAUCAUCACCCUGAGGUGGUGAAGUUAUUGAUUCAGGAAGAUCUCGAGUUCACCUAUGGUGCUAAUACUGAAGGCAACACUCCUCUUUACAUUUCUGCUGAGUGGGGAUUCAGAGACUUGGUGCAGAUGAUCCUAGACAAUUGCUCUUCACCAGCUCAUAGUGGUAUCAAGGGUCCAACGGCUUUGCAUGCUGUGGUAAUUCUCAAUGACCAAGGUAGUGGAGGAUCCACCAUUUUUUUUUUUUUUUGCAAAUCUCGAAUCACAUUACAAAAGGAAACUUUAUUCAUUUUCUUUAUUGUCUUGUGUUUUUUUUCUCUUUUGUUCAGUUGUUGAUUUUAUCAGUAAUGACAAAGAAGAUACUGGAAGCCUACUUUAACUAAAGAAUUGGAUGAAAAUGGGUGGUCCUCCCCUCACUUUGCUGCAUAUGUGGGCUGUGAUCCAACAAUAGUGAGGCAACUGUAAAAUAUUUACAUAAUCACAUAGAUUAAUCAUACAUGAUUAAAUGAUACUAACAAUAGGAAAUCACUAUAAAAAACAUACCUGUUUGAGCCAUGAUAAAAAACCGUGAUUGAUUGUUGCAACCAAGUUUUCCUCUCUAUAAUCUUGAUAACAGCUAUGGUGGCUCUAUGGGAAAGCAGAAAAACCCUUUUUAUUUAGAUUAGAGAGGGGACUUAUCAUAACUCAAAUUGGAUUCUCAUUGGGCCCUCCCAUAAUGGGUUUUAAUGAGACCCAUAGCCUACACUUGCCACUCAACUGAGCUUCUACUCAAAAGAUGCAAAACCCAAUCCAAAAUGUGAUCACUAGUUAAUUGGGCUCAUUAUAUAAUAGACUAUCCAUUAACCCGUUUUUGUAAAUACAAAUUAUUCAAUUAAUGUUAGCCCAUAUAAAAAUCUUUCCAACAUUUUCCCACUUGGGCUACAUUAAUUGUUUUUUAGGAUUCUUUAAAUUCAUUUUGAAAAUAAGACUCUCGGGUUAAGUACAAAAAAGUUUAUUUUGUGUGGCCAUACUUUUUUUUUUUUUUUUUAAAGAAAUGAUAGUUUAUAAGUAGCAUCUUGUUAAACUUAUCCGGUCCAACAUGGUCUUAAUAUUGGACUAUGAUGGUCUAUAUGUUAAUCUCAACAAACAUAAUGCCCCUUAUAGUCACGAAUAUUUAUAACCAUAUCGACAUGGAUCGUAAACCCAAUAGUGUAGUAAGAAAUCAAUGCCAACAUGUGAUCAUCAUCUAUAUGCAUUGUUUCUUAUCAGUCCUCAUUACAAUUUACCAGCAAAAUGAAAUUGUAAUUGCAAUUUCUCAACAAAGUGAAAUUGCUGCAAUUUCUAAACAAUAUGAAAUUGCUUGACUUUAACAAGUCAUAUGUCACAAAUAGUGCACCACAAGAUCUCAAAAUAGUGGUAUUUGUGACAUCCAAUAGUAUACAACUGUAAUUCUUAAGGUUCAAUAUCUCAAGAUACCAUGUUGUAUGUAAUUCAAUUACGACAUGCUAUAAUAUAAUACUUAAUUAUGAUGAUCAUAAUAAAAAGAUUUUAAUUUUGCAAGUCGCAGAACAAUAAUGAUCAAUGUUUACAUAAAACAAUAAUUGAAAUAAGGGAAAUCACAAAAGCUCCUACUAAACCAAAGAAUCAAAAGACUUAAUGACACCUAUAUUUACAACAUGUUCCUUGAAUGUUAUGGGCUUUAAACCUUUGGUUAGAGGAUCAACUAGCAUAGACUCAGUUCUUAUGUGCUCAAUCACAAUAUCUCCUUUCUUCACUAAGUCCUUGACUAUAAGGUACUUAAAAAAAAUAGAUUACAAAAAAAUGAGCGCAUAGGAAAAAAAAUGGGGCUCAAAACGGACACCGGAUGAGGUUACAUGUGCCUCACACACUUGACCCGCAGGUGGGGAACGUGUGGCACAUGUGGCAUGUGUUGGAGGUCAUCUUCAACCUCCAGCAUUGGGUCAAAAAUUCUGCAAUACGGGUCAAAUGACCUGGUUGCAACCCGGAUUACAAACUAUUGAAAAAAAAAGGUUUUUUUGAUCGAGAUCUUGAGGGUUUUAAACUUUAGGUUGUUUCUAACAAUUCUAGGACAUUUAAUCAUAAAAAAAAAACAACUUAAAAAUCUCCAUAAUUGAUUAACAAAAUUCGGUUUUUCAUACCUCCAUAGCUAAGAUCGAAAAACUCUAUUUUAACACCUAUUUUAGCCCCAUUUUACAUGUAUUUUUACCUUAACAAUAUAAGAAAUCUCUCUAAAAAAAUUAAUUAAACAAAAAAACUUCUCAAUCUUGCUCAAUUUUUUUUAAAAAUAUAAAACGAAUUUUCUAGGGUUCAUACCCAUAUUUUCGAAUUUUCAAUUUUCACCAAAUUGAGCCAAAAAAUAGAAAUUGAUGCUACAUAUCAACUAUAAUAUAUGUAAAUAACAAAAUCUAAGAGUUUAAUUUGAGUAAAACACAAUAAUUUGAACAAAUAAAUUUUUUCUUGAAUCUUUAAACAAGAAAAUUUUGAAAAUUUAAAAACUUAAUUACUCCCAAUUUAAACAACGAAAUUGCACAUAUGAUAUAUCAAUUUGAAGCUUGUGACAAGAGGAACAAAAAAGCCUAAAGUGUCACAAUCAAAAGAAACUAUAAAAAAAAACAUACACAUUCAUGGAUCACAGAUUCGGCUCCGAAAAUAAAAUAAAAUAAGAAACUAAAAAUUUUAUUUUUGAUUUCCAAUUGUAGAUCCUAAAUCAUGUAAAUUUGGCUCUGAUACCAUAUGUAAAAUAAUUUACAUAAUCACAUAGAUUAAUCAUACAUGAUUAAAUGAUACUAACAAUAGGAAAUCACUAUAAAGAACAUACCUGUUUAAGCCAUGAUAAAAAACCGUGAUUGAUUGUUGCAACCAAGUCUUCCUCUCUAUGAUCUUGAUAACAGCUAUGGUGGAUCUAUGGGAAAGCAGAAAAACCCUUUUCAUCUAGAUUAGAGAGGGGACUUAGCAUAACUCAAAUUGGAUUCUCAUUAGGCCCUCCCAUAAUGGGCUUCAAUGAGACCCAUAGCCUACACUUACCACUUAAUUGAGCUUCUACUCAAAAGAUGCAAAACCCAAUCCAAAAUGUGAUCACUAGUUAAUUGGGCUCAUUAUAUAAUAGACUAUCCAUUAACACGUUUUUUCAAAUACAAAUUAUUCAAUUAAUGUUAGCCCAUAUAAAAAAUUUUCCAACAGCAAUUGCUAGAGAAAUCUGACAGGUAUGUUGUCUAUCUAGGUGUUGAAGACCAUGAAAUUGGAAACAGGACAACUCUUCACAUUGCAGCGAGCCGAGGCCAUGUGGACGUAGUGAAGGUGCUGCUGUCACACUUUCCAGAUUGUUGUGGGAAAGUUGAUGAUGAGGGCAAUAAUGUUUUUCACUUGGUUAUGCCAGAAAAGAAAAUAUUUGUAACUUCGGGUUUGUCAAACAUUCGCUAGUUAAGGGUGAGAGGUCUCAUGAAUGAGAAGAAUGUUGAAGGAAAGACACCCAUCCAUCUGUUUCACAAUUCUCCCUCGUCUAAAGAUAACAACAAUUUCAUACCUUCGGAAACGACGUUCACGUCGAUAGUGGACACCUUAGUUAAAGGAUUUUUGGAAGAGAGAAAUUGAAGAAUUAUUACUGCUGAUUCUCAUUGAUAUGGUUAGUAUAUAUACAGAUUGCAUGAGCACGAAAAUAGGAAACUGAUUACAAAGAAAUAGGAAACAAAAUAAAUUGAGUAACUAUACAAAUAAAUGGUAUAACUACAAAUAUUCCAAAAUAUUCAAAACUUGGAAAUCCCUUGAUUUUCUCCCUUGACUUUCUCAACUUGAUUGUAUAUCCUUAUCAUUAGUAAGAUUAAGGGUAACAUGUUUCAUGCGCGAGUGAAAGACCGGAUUGGAACAGAGAUUUGUUGCACCAACAUUAUCACAAUAAAUAACUGGUUGUUGGGGAAGAGUGACACCGAGUUCGGUGAGGAGAGAGCAAAUCCAACGAAUUUCUGUAGCAGUAGAGGCCACCGAUCGGUAUUCAGCCUCAGUGGAAGAGCGAGCCACAGUUCGCUGUUUCUUAGAGCUCCAAGAAAUAGGGUUGUGACCCAAAUAGAUUAUGUAUGCACUGGUGGAGGUGAAAUCAUCUUUGUUACCUGCCCAAUCAAAGUCAGAAAAGGCAUGAAGUGCUAGUGGGGAGGUCCGACGAAGUGUGAUGCCGUGGUCUAAGGUGCCACAGAGAUACCGCAGCAGACGCUUGACUGCAUUCCAGUGGUCACUUGUUGGUUGAUGCAUAAACUGAGAGAGUUUGUUCACCGUAUAGGCAAUGUCCGGCCGAGUGAGGGAGAGAUACUGGAGGCUACCAACCACUGUUCGAUACUCGGUCUGGUCAGAUAGUGGGGUUCCUGAUUGUAAAGUGAGAAUUGGACUAGUUGCUAGUGGUGUAGGAGCAGGCUUGGCUUCAGUCAUGUGAGUUAUGUUAAGUAGAUCGGCAAUGUAUUUGCGUUGACUGAGGAAAAUACCAUUGGUGUGGGAGGUAACUUCCACUCCAAUGAAGUAUGUCAGGGGGCCAAGGUCCUUGAGAGAGAAACGCUGAGAAAGUUGUUGAAUGAAAGUCUGCGCUGCUUCAACAUUAUUCCCAGUGAUAAUGAUAUCGUCGACAUAAACUAACAGAUAAAGAAUGGUGCCAUGGUUAUUGAAGAUGAACAAGGAGGUAUCGGCAAUGGAAUUGAUGAAGCCAAAUUGGAGAAGAAAUUGGCGCAACUCAUGAUACCAGGCACGUGGGGCUUGUUUGAGGCCAUAGAUAGCCUUGCGUAGCUUGCAGACAUGAUGAGGAUGAUCACGAUCAAUGAAGCCCGGUGGUUGAGACAUAAACACAUCCUCAGUGAGAGUGCCCUGAAGAAAGGCAUUGUUGACAUCAAGUUGUCUUAGUGACCAACCCUGGCUGACCGCAAGGCUGAGAACAAGGCGGACAGUGGUAGGUUUGAUGACGGGACUGAAGGUUUCAGAGUAGUCAAUGCCAGGGCGUUGGUGGAAGCCUUUAGCAACCAAUCGAGCUUUGUACCUGUCUAUGGAGCCAUUAGGUAAAUAUUUAGUGCGAAAGAUCCACUUACAACCAACCAAAUUUUGAGUGGGAUGAGAUGGCACUAGGUCCCAUAUCCCAUUACGUAGUAAAGCAUCAAACUCUGCAGACAUAGCUUGUCGCGCACNNNNNNNNNNNNNNNNNNNNNNNNNNNNNNNNNNNNNNNNNNNNNNNNNNNNNNNNNNNNNNNNNNNNNNNNNNNNNNNNNNNNNNNNNNNNNNNNNNNNNNNNNNNNNNNNNNNNNNNNNNNNNNNNNNNNNNNNNNNNNNNNNNNNNNNNNNNNNNNNNNNNNNNNNNNNNNNNNNNNNNNNNNNNNNNNNNNNNNNNNNNNNNNNNNNNNNNNNNNNNNNNNNNNNNNNNNNNNNNNNNNNNNNNNNNNNNNNNNNNNNNNNNNNNNNNNNNNNNNNNNNNNNNNNNNNNNNNNNNNNNNNNNNNNNNNNNNNNNNNNNNNNNNNNNNNNNNNNNNNNNNNNNNNNNNNNNNNNNNNNNNNNNNNNNNNNNNNNNNNNNNNNNNNNNNNNNNNNNNNNNNNNNNNNNNNNNNNNNNNNNNNNNNNNNNNNNNNNNNNNNNNNNNNNNNNNNNNNNNNNNNNNNNNNNNNNNNNNNNNNNNNNNNNNNNNNNNNNNNNNNNNNNNNNNNNNNNNNNNNNNNNNNNNNNNNNNNNNNNNNNNNNNNNNNNNNNNNNNNNNNNNNNNNNNNNNNNNNNNNNNNNNNNNNNNNNNNNNNNNNNNNNNNNNNNNNNNNNNNNNNNNNNNNNNNNNNNNNNNNNNNNNNNNNNNNNNNNNNNNNNNNNNNNNNNNNNNNNNNNNNNNNNNNNNNNNNNNNNNNNNNNNNNNNNNNNNNNNNNNNNNNNNNNNNNNNNNNNNNNNNNNNNNNNNNNNNNNNNNNNNNNNNNNNNNNNNNNNNNNNNNNNNNNNNNNNNNNNNNNNNNNNNNNNNNNNNNNNNNNNNNNNNNNNNNNNNNNNNNNNNNNNNNNNNNNNNNNNNNNNNNNNNNNNNNNNNNNNNNNNNNNNNACAGACCAUGGAGUGAAGCCCAACAUUGGUGGCAUGAGCAGAUGCCGGUAGGGGUGAAGGGCUUAUCUUGUUGCGGAGAGAUAAUUCUUUGUUGAUGAGUUUUUCAUGGAGUUCAUCAAAAGAGAUGGUGGAAUCACGACCGUUGACAGCAUCAAUGAUGGACUGAUAAUUUUCAUCAAGGCCUUCAAGUACUUUUUCAAUCAGAUCUUCUUGGUCAAGAGGCUUACCAAGAGCAGCAAGUUCAUCGGCCCGGGUUUUAAUGGACUGCAUGUAGUUUGUAAUGGACUGAGAACCUUUGGUGAUGUUUUUAAGAUGGUCUUUGAGUUGCUUGAUAUGGCCACGAGAUGGGCGAGCAUAGGUGUUGGCCAAUAUUUGCCAGGCUUCAUAAGAGGUUUUUGAUUGGGUGAUGAGAGGAACUAGAGUAGAUGAGAGAGUGCCGACAAGGGCUCCAAAUAUUAGUUUGUCUUGACGUAGCCAUGUUUGGUAUGCAGGGUUAGUAGAGACAACAUUAUUGGUGGUGAUGGUGGUUGGAGGAGCAGGGUGGGAUCCAUCAAUGAAUUUUUGUAGAUCAUAGCCGAUGAGAAUGGCUUCCAUUUGGGUUUUCCAAGAAAGAUAGUUGGUGGGUGUGAGUUUAAUGGAGUUAUGGAUAGUAAUCAUGGUUAGUGGUUUUGUGGGUUCCUGGGCAUUAGGAAUGAUGAGUUGAGAAUUCUUAGUGGCCAUUGGAAUGAGGAGGAUGAAAGGCUUGCUGAAGAUUGAAGAACGUGGCUGGGAAAAAAAUUAAAGAACAAACCUUUGCUCUGAUACCAUAAAGGAUUUUUGGAAGAGAGAAAUUGAAGAAUUAUUACUGCUGAUUCUCAUUGAUAUGGUUAGUAUAUAUACAGAUUGCAUGAACACGAAAAUAGGAAACUGAUUACAAAGAAAUAGGAAACAAAAUAAAUUGAGUAACUAUACAAAUAAAUGGUAUAACUACAAAUAUUCCAAAAUAUUCAAAACUUGGAAAUCCCUUGAUUUUCUCCCUUGACUUUCUCAACUUGAUUGUAUAUCCUUAUCAUUAGUAAGAUUAAGGGUAAGGCCAUGAAAAUUUUGGAUUUCCUAUGUACUGUUAGUUUUUGACAUCCAAUUUAUUUGACCACUUUUUUUGGAUUUUUCUCUUAAAAACAAUUGCACCAUAGAUUACUAUUUCACCCCUUUUAAUUGAAUAUCUAUCCACGCUUUCAGAGACGGAUGCGAAGUUCCAGAGUUAGUAUGAGACCCUUGGGUUCGCUAGAGAUCAAGGAAGACAUUGGAAACAGUGAAAGCAAAGAAAGUGAAGAAAUAUUUGAAAUAAAGAAAACAAUGAAAAGCCAUAUGAUGGUGGCGGCACUCAUAGUAACUGUAACCUUCGUGGCAGGUUUCACACUACCUGGUGGUUACGUUCAGAACGAUAGCAAUAACCAGGGCAUGGCAGUCUUGUCGCUCUCUACCAAUGGCACCAAGGGCACGGACCGAGACAGGGCAACUGCAACAAUGGAAAAUUUCGAAAGUUUUGUAAUGGAAGAUAGCAUAGCCAUGUUACUUUCUAUGUGUGCUAUUGGUAUCUAUUUCUUUGCGUCAUUCCCUAUAAAAAAAUAAGAAGACUGUCCAGGGAUACUUAUGGUACGGCUAUGCGCUCACCAUGUCUGCGAUGACUGCAAUGGUGUUUGCAUUUGUUGAGGGCCUGCGAGCUGUUCUACAUCCUUCUUCAUUGCUUGAAGGUACCACCACUUUCAUCCUUCGGGUCUUCUUGCUUUUGUUUUUGUUUCCAAUAUUUCUUACAUUGACACCCAACCCAAGGUGGAUUUUGUAUGGCAAAAAAGUAAAGUCUUAUACAUUAAUGUAAGUGAUUUUAAACAUGUUUCAAGUCUUACAUAUUGUUUAUGCUUUUACUAUAAAGUUUCCUAUUACAUUUGUAAAUUACCCAAAAAUGUGUAUUUUUUUUUUUAAACAAUGAAUAAAUGCAUUCCUCAAUAAAAGUAAAUGUCCAAGAAAAAAUUCCCUAAUUCUUGCUCGUUCAUUGAAUUUCCUUUUCUAAGCGAAUUAUAAAUGGUUAUAUCAAUAGUAAAAAUAUAAAUGGUAUAUAAUAAUAAUAAUAAUAGUAUUUUAGGGGAAUAUGAAGAUUAAUAUAGAUUUUAAACAUUAGAUAUUUCAUCAACAAUGUCUCAUUCCAUAAUAUGGAUUCUAAAUACUUAUAAUAUGGAUGGACGUGAAUGAGUCAAAUUAUCUAUCAGUGAAUUAUUUCUUUAAGAAUUGUCAAAAGAUGUUCCACCUUAUAUUCCCUAAAAGCAGUAAAAAUUAUAAAAUAUGAUCUUAAUAAAACCAUAAGUUGUGCCUCUGUUAAAAAAAAAAAAUAAAGAAAAAUAUUUUUAGAAAAUAAAAAUUAUUAAUAAUAUUUUAUUUAAAUUAAAUUAUAAACAAGUACAAUAAUAUUGUGUCAAUUAAUACCAAAAUUUUUGGAUUAAAAAAAGAUAAAAAAUGAGGAUUAAUUUCCUUUUUGAAACAACUAUACAACCUAGCAAUUUUUACAAAUAAUUUGGAAUUUAAAAGAAGAUCGAACGGUUAUCAUAAAAAUAGUAGCCAAUAUAUGGUUUAGGUUUUGAUUUUUGAGACCUUGUGGAUUGAAUGAACUUUUUGUGGUGGAAGAACAAUUAUUGAAUUUUUUAUUACUUUUUUUAAAGGAUGUUUUUAAAUAUUUAAAUUUAUUUUAUAUUUGUAUAUAGAUAAGUUGUCCCCAUUUGAACAAGACUCACUUUUUAUUUGUGAAAAAAAUAAUUAAAAAAAAAGUUAGAAUUGCUACUUAUUUUAGUUUAUUUUUUAAAAGGGAAAGCAAAAUAAAAAAGAAAACCUAUGUGACAUUUUAUUCGGAAAAUAUAUGUCUGUAAAAACUUGAGUUCGGAUUCGAGGAUCGGGUUACCUAUUGAGAAGGUACGGUAGUGAGCUAUAACACUCUCUAAGCCUAUAUACAUACGUUCUCUACUAAUCAUAGAUACCAUGAAUAGAAUGAUAUGCAUAAAUAUAUAAAAAUUAUGAUAAAAUCAAAUCAUAAUAAUGGGCAAAAUAAAUAAAAAGAGAAAUACAUGAAUCAAUUUAUUAAGUUAAUUAAAAAAGAUUUUAUUAUUUCAAAUGUCCCAAUGCAAUUUUAAGAAAUUUUAAAAGAAUUUAUUGGCAUAAAAAAAGAAACAAUUUUGAGUUGGUGAUUUCAAUUUAUUUAUCUAAAAAAUGUUUCAAUUUACUUUCAAUAAGUGAUUUGAUUUAAUUUUGUUUGUAUUCAAUUUUCAAGAAAGUCAUUUAUAGUCAUUAUUAAAAAAAAAAAUCAUUAAAAAAAAUCAAUUUGAUUUUAUUUACAAUUAAAAUAAUUGUUACUUAUUUUGCUAGAAAAAAAGGAUGAAUUCUUAUGAUUUUAUUUAUAAAAGUAUUUCAAUUUAUUUUCAUUUAAGAAAAGUGGUUAAUAUGAAUUAUUUAAAAAAGAUUUUUAUGACUUUAUUUAUAAAAAAAAAGAGACUGUUAUAGCUUUAUUUAAAAACAAUAUUAAAAUUUAAUCCAAUUUUAAUAAUAAUAAUAAUAAUAAUAAUAAUAAUAAUAAUAAUAAUAGGAAAGUUUAUAAAAAAAGAUUGAUUGAAGAAGAGAUUUUAUUUUUGUUUGAUUUAAAGUAAAUUUUUUCAAUUCUAUUAAAACUAAAAAAAAUAAAUAAAAAUCUUUAAUUCUAUUUAUCUUUACAGAUUUGGAUUUUAUAAAUAAACAAAUAAAAGAAAAAGUUUAUCCAAUUUUAUUUAAAGAAAACCAAUUUUCACAUUUUAUUUAUGAAAACAUCCUAUUUUGAUUUUCCAAUUUUGAUUUUUAUUUUCUUUUAAAAAGACUUUAUUUGUUUGAAAAAGAAGUUUACACUUUAACAAUUUUAUCGAAAAGGAAAAGAAUUUGAUUUACUUUUAUUAUUAAAAAAAGAAGAUGCUUAUAAAUUAAUUUAAAAUUGAUAAAUCUAUAACCCUAAAAGAGGUACAAAUAAACAAGAAGCCCCUGAAGAGGCACAUAUAUUGAACAAGAAGCCUUUGAAAAGGCACAUAUAUAUUGAAUGAGAAGCCCUUGAAGGGGCACAAGUAUCUAAAAAUUGAAGAGAUCUCAAUGAGCCACACAGGAGAAACAAAGGACCAUAGUGGCAUUAUCAUAGAUAAUAUAUUCGCAUUCCAAGUGGCUAUGGACAUCAUGAGAAAUGAUGAAUAUCAAGAACUACAAACUGUGAAUGAAUGUCGAAAAAUGAAUGAUUGGCCAAAAUGGAAAGAAGCAAUCCAAAUAGAGCUAAACUCGUUAACAAAACGAGAGGAAUUUUGACCUGUAGUUCAAACACCUGGAAACAUAAAGCCUAUUGGAUAUAAAUGGGUCUUUGUGAAAAAAAGAAAUGAGAAUGAUGAAAUCAUAAGAUAUAAAGCACGACUUAUUGCUCAAGGUUUCUCUCAAAGACCUGGUAUAGAAUAUGAAGAAACUUAUUCCCCUGUAAUGGAUGCAAUCACACUACGUACUUGAUAAGUUUAACAGUCUCUGAAGGACUAGAUAUGUGUCUUAUAGAUGUUGUUACAACCUAUUUAUAUGGGUUUAUAGAUAUUGACAUAUAUAUGAAAAUCUCUGAAGGAUUCAAAUUACCUGAAACAACUAAUCCAAAACCUCGAAACAUGUACUCAAUCAAACUACAAAGAUCUUUGUACGUAUUAAAGCAAUCUGGACGUAUGUGGUAUAAUCGUUUGACUGAGUAUUUGUUAAAAGAAGGAUAUGUGAAUAAUUCAAUUUGCCCAUGUGUUUUUAUCAAGAAAUCAAAAUUUGGGCUUACAAUAAUUGCAGUGUAUGUGGAUGAUUUAAACCUUAUAGGAACUCUUGAAGAGCUCACAAAAGCAGCCAAUUAUUUAAAAAAGGAAUUUGAAAUGAAAGACUUGGGGAAAACAAUAUAUUGCCUCGGUCUGCAAAUCGAGUAUUGUUCAAAUGGCAUAUUAGUCCAUUAAUUGACAUAUAUAGAGAAAGUAUUAAAACGAUUUUAUAUGGACAAAUCACAUCCAGUCAAUUCCCCUAUGGUUGUUCGUUCACUUGAAGUGAACAAAGACCCAUUUUGUCCUAAAGAAGAAAAUGAAGAAUUGCUUGGUCCAGAAGUACCAUAUCUUAGUGCAAUCAGUGCAUUAAUGUAUCUUACAAAUUGUACUAGACCAGACAUAGCAUUCUUUGUCAGUUUGCUAGCAAGAUACAAUUUUGCUCCAACUAAAAGGCAUUGGAAUGAGAUUAAACAUAUAUUGCAAUACCUUUGUGGAACAAGUGACAUGGGUUUCUAUUAUUCAAAAGAAUCAAAAUCACAAUUUAUUGGGUAUGCAGAUGCAGGAUAUAUUUCAGAUCCUCAUAAAGCUUGAUCUCAAAUGGGAUAUGUCUUUACUUAUGGUGGAACGACAAUGUCUUGGAGAUCAGUGAAGCAAACAACGGUAGUCACAUCUUCAAAUCAUUAAGAAAUUCUUGCAAUUCAUGAAGUAAGUCGUGAAUGUGUAUGGCUAAGGUCAAUGAUCCAACAUAUACGAGAAACAUGUGGACUACCUUCCAUCAGAGGCAAUGCAACCGUGUUACAUGAAGAUAAUGCUGCCUUUAUUACACAAAUUAAAUGAGGAUUCAUAAAAGGUGACAGACCUAAGCAUAUCUCUCCUACAUUCUUCUAUACUCAUGAGCUCCAAAAGAAAUGUGGGAUUGAUGUUCAACAAAUUCAGUAAUGCAAUGAUCCAGCAGAUCUAUUCACAAAGGCGUUAUCUUCGACCAUAUUGAAAAAGUUAAGGUAUGACAUUGGAAUGCGAAGAUUGAGAGAUCCACCAUUUGAAAUGUUGAAGAAAUCAUAAUCAUGUUUAUAUGAGAGUGAGAAUGCUAAUAUGGAUAUAUUGCACUCUUUUUUCCUUCGUCCAGGUUUUGUCCCAUUGGGUUUUACUGAUAAGAUUUUUAAUGAGGCAGUUACCAUAUUCUUAUGAUCAUUCAAGGGGUAGUGUUAGAAAAUAUGAGAAUUUAUCGGAUUAUGAUAAUUUGUGGAUGAUCAACCAUAUUAAUGUAUAUCUCUUUGUGACUCCCUAUAAAAAGGAGAUACCUCUAAUGAAAAUCUAUUCUAAUCUCUACCUACAUUCUAAUUUCUCUUUCUUGUUUUCUUCUCCUUUUACUUUAUAAUUUUACAACAUUCACAAUUUUAUCCCAAAAAAAUGGAAUUUUUUAACUUUUAUUAAAAAGGAAUUCUUAUCUAACUCUACUUAAAAAAAAAAAAGAAUUUUGUCUUUUGAAAAAAAAAAAAAAUUAUAAUUUUAUAGGAUUUUAUCCCACUUUAAAAAAGAUUUUUUUUUAAAAAAUUUAUUGAAAGAGAUAACUUUGCGUAAAAUAAUGAAAUAAAAUUAUAAGUUUAUCUAAAAGGUUGAAUUUUGAUUUACUCUUAAUAAAGAUGGAUUUUUACAAUUUUAUUUACAAAACUAAUCAAAUUCAAUUUAUUUAAGAACAAAAUUUUAACAACUUUUAUUGGAAAAUGGACUUUUAUUUAUUUUAAAAAAAUUAUAGCUUUUAUUUAGAAAAUUAAAUUUUACAAAUUUAUUUACAAAAAAAAUAUUUGGAUUCAAUUCUUAUUUUCCAAAUAGUUUUUAUUAAAAAGAAAAGAUUUUUUAUUUUUAUUUAUUUUAUUUUUUAUAAAUUUUAUUUAAAAGGCAUUUCAAUUCAAUUUCCAUUAAAAGACAAUUAUCCAUUGGAAAGGAAAGUCUUCAUUUUCUUUAAUAAAAAUUAUUUAAUUUUAUAAAAAAUAGUUUGACUUUUUAUUUAUUUUAAAUAAGAAGGUUUUAAAAUUGUUAUUUAAAAAAAUGUUUGUGAAAUUCAUUAGUCAUGACCCUUUUUUUUUUUUUUUUUUUUUUUUUUUUUUUUUAUGAUGAAAGGAGAUUACGAAAUAGAAUACCGACAAAUAUGAUUGAAAUAUGUGCUACAAUAAUCUUUAAGACUAAACUUUUUAACAUCGUAAGGAAAGUUUGACCAUCAAAUGAUUGAAUUUAGAUUACAAAUACAUUUCUUCGUUAAAUAAUCUACUAUUCUAUUUGCUUUCUUAUAAAUAUAAUGGCAAUUUCCUAUAAAUAUGAUGACAAUCAUAAAUAUAUAAGUCCCAAGAUAACUUCAAAAUAUCCUUCAUUAGUAACAUAAUAGAACUACGAAUAUUACUUUUUUAUUUUUUUAUUAUUUUAUUAUAACAAUUUAUAACUAUUUUCGAGUCACCCUCAAUUUCUAGGUUUAAGAACCCAUUGUUCUUGACAGCUAACAUGCCAUUUCUUAAAGUAGUACAUUUUGCAAUAAUUAUUGAAGCAUUACCUAUAUGUUUACUAGCAACCAUUUUUAUGGUACCAUUAGAGUCUCUAAUAAUCCAUCUUGAAGUACUUUUAUUCUUUAUCCUUGAAUCAUCUAAAUUUAAUUUGAAUCUUCCAUUAAUUAAAGGAAUCCAACGAAUCCAUUUUUCAACAAUUCGAGGGACUUUGAGUCCUUUGGUUUGAAGAUAGGAGUCAAUCAUAUACUUCUGAAGAUUUUAAAAGUUUAAAGUAGCUUUCUCAAUGACAAGAAAGAGGUUGAGAUGAAUCUUCUUAAAUAAAACUUGAUUUCUAUGAAUUCAUACAUUCCACUAAAUAAUGGAAAAUUUUUCCAUAGGAUGCUUGUAAAUUUUGCAAUUAAUUUUAUAGUUUUUAUACAUUGUUUCAAGCCAAGAUAGGAAGUCACUUUCAUAGAAGAGAGGUGUAGGGCAAUUAUACUUGAUACAACCCCAAAUCCCUUGAACAAAAGGAUAAUAUUUAAAAAUAUGGUCAAUAUUCUCUAUUUUGUUUGCAAAGAUAACACAUUUGUAAGUUCCAACAUUCUAGCAAUUAAAAUCUCACAAUUAGCCAUGACUUUAGUUUAUCAAAAAAAUCAACUUUAACACUUUAUUUAAACAAGAGAAAGCAAAAAAAAAAAAAAAAAAAAAAAAAAAAAAAAAAUUUAUAAAAUUUUUAAAACAGGUAUAUCAUAUAGUGAACCAAUAAAUAGACAAUCCUUAUUCAUUCAAAUAACCUAUAAACAUUCCUUUAAUAACAAAAUAAAUAAAUAUUAAAAGAAAUUAUAACAAAAUAAUGGUGAAAUAUUUAUGAAAAUAAUGGAUGGGAAUCUCAAAAGAGCAUGUGGCAAUAUUGUGAGUUUCUAUAUCCUAUUGUGACAUUGAUUAUUUUAUACUGGGUUCAAAAUUUCGACUCAGAAGUUGAUUACUUUCUACCAUGUCUUAAGAUCUAGGCUCAUAAUUUCCCUAAUGAUUUUUCUGAUUCUGCUGGUAAUAAGUUUUAAGAUCAGCAUGCGGGAAUGAGUAUGCUUAGAUGUACUUAUUUUUAAGCUUUAGUUUAUAACAAUAUUGAAGUUGAAUCUUGGGUUCUAAUGAUGAUUUCUUUGUGCUCUAUUUUCAUAUCUUUUAAGUAGUGGUUUAGGCUAAGAAGAAGGGGAUCUUUAGGACCUCUCUAGUAUUAAUGAAAAUUAUUCAAAACUAGUUAAAUUUUCUCUCUACAUUUAAAUUCAAAUUCUGAAAAUUUCACCAUAAAAAAUUGACAUGGCAAAAAUUCAAACCAUUGAAUUUUGAAAAGCUACUCCAAAAUUUUGCCAAAGAUUUUCACCAUCUUUUCUUACCUUUCAACUGACAAUUUUUCGAAAAAUGAACCUCUAAAUCUGAAGUAUUAGUGAAAACCGGAUAUUACAUAAAUACAAGCAAUUGAAAAUCAUAAUGAAAGAUAAGAUAUGACGAUAAAGCAUGCACCCGGUAAUUUAUCCAACUAGGAGACUAUAUAAUUUAAGUUCAUACCCCACUCAAAAUUCACCAAGAAUCAUUCUUAUAUACAAACAUGAAAAUAUAUAUUAAUUAAAGGGUCGUGCCAUGUAGGAAGACCUUCCAUUAAUUUCACGGUUGUCAUAUGAGUAAAUGACAUCCCAUCAAGCCCUUUAGCCUUUUUGAAGUUGUCUAAAUAAAUAAUAGAAGAAGAGGAAAAAGCAGCAGCAGAGGACACAAACAACGAUCGGAAGCCCAGAGAAAUGUGGUAGCACAGCGUACAUGCCGGUCAUGAAUGCCACCACCAUUGACCCCAUGCCAAGCAUGGUGAGAAGACAGCCCCAGACAUAGUGUUUUUCGAGAUACUCCACUUUUUCAUGAAUUGCCAUAUAAAAGUAAACAAAUGUAGCGGAUACCGAGAAAACCAUGGCUAAGGUAUCCGUCACAACAAAUGCUUUGAAAGCUGCUUUCUUUGCCAGGAUUGCCUUGCCAUCAUUUUCAUUGUAACCACCAGGCAAGGUGAAGCCAGCCGCAAAGGUUACAAUUGCUACAAGUGCUGCCACUAUCAAAUGAAUUUCACCCGUUUUCUUUAACUUAGAGAUGGAAUUGUCUUUACUGUCUUUACUUUCACUGCUAUCAUUGUCUUUCUUGUCACCCGGGACCCAACUUAAAGGUCCAAUACCCACUUCCUCACUUUUGCUGAAGAAAUCCAGGAAAUAUUUCUGAAAUUUUACAAAAUAAAAACUUUAGCCUUCUGAUCCCUUGUCAUGAGAAGAAGCAUAGUACAUGUGUGGCUGUUUAGGCAAGAAUGAGGUUCGAAAUUCAGUCCUCUCAACUGCUUCGGCUCGGUUUGUGAGUGAUUCUAUUCUAAUAAAAUCUAGGUUAUUGUGAGCUUGUAUUGAAGCAGUCAAUAGCGAUGUCUAUAUUAUUGUCUUGUGUUAUUAUCAUGUAAAUUAAUUGUGUAGUAACCAAAAUUAGGCAAGUAAAAAUAUAAUAUAAAAUUAUGUGUAUGUAUUUAGAUGUGUAUGAAUGUAACCGGUCAUAUGAAAUCAAGUUAGAGAUUUACCUUUUGCAGCCAACGGUCGUUGACUCUUGAAACUAUGUCCUUAGGGGUUAAGUUUUCAUUGUUCAGAGGCAUCUUAUCCACUCUAUCGUCCUUUACAAAUUCUUCAUCAUCAACUAGGUAAGAAGCAAGCAGGUGGAGGGGCGUGUCUCCUUGAGCAUCUUUCUCAUUUAAAAGUCCUCUCACUCUUAAUCCAUCAUUUUGUAAAAACAUCCCAGGAUAAUAAUCUUGCUUAUUCAUCAUGGCAAAGUGAAGGACAUUUUUGCCGUUAUCAUCCACCUGCUCGCAACAAUCUGGAGAGUAAGAUAGCAGCAGAUCUACUAUGUCUUUAUGGCCACGUUUAGCUGCAAUAAGAAGGGCUGUUUGCUUGCCACGUUUGAUUCCGAGGUAAGCCACAGAUUUAUCUGGUGAUUUGUGUAGUAAUUGCUUCACAAUGGUAGUAUAACCAAAGUGGGCAGCACAGUGAAGGGGAGACCAUCCAUUUUCGUCCACUUCUUUGAUUAGAGAUGGCUUCCAUUCCAAUAACUUCGUUGUUAUUUCUGAUAAUAAAUGAAUAUAUAAAGAUUAAAAUUAAUACAGAAAAAAAAAUAUAUUUAACAAUAGAUUGGAUGACUAAUUAACCACUCAGAUCUGCAUAUAGGUACCUUGGUCGUUGCGAAUUACAGCAGCAUGCAGAGCAGUUCUUGUGAUGUCCCACAUCGGAUAGGGGAGCAAGUUCCUGACGCUAUAUAUGUAGAGGCUCCUCUUAACUAAGUAGACGCGUUUUAAAACCGUGAGGGCCCCCUUGGGCCCAAAGCGGACAAUAUCUACAUGGUUGGGUGCGGGUCGUUACAAAUGGUAUCAGAGCCGAUCCCCGACCCCGGUGUGGGGUUUUGUUUGGCUCCGUAAGGGGUGUUUGUCUAUUUGGCCCCGUAAUCCCAUGGGACACAACGAGGACGUUGUGUCUGCAUGGGGGGGUAUUUGUGAUGUCCCACAUCGGAUAGGGGAGCAAGUUCCUGGCGCUAUAUAUGUAGAGACUCCUCUUAACCAAGUAGACGCGUUUUAAAGCUGUGAAGGCCCCUUUGGGCCUAAAGCGGACAAUAUCUACAUGGUUGGGUGCGGGUCGUUACAGUUCUACCCAAGAUGCCACUGUAAGCUGGUGAAGUGCUGGUGUUGUCUAUGAUUAUUUGCACCAAGUCUCCAUGUCCUCGCUCCACCGCCAUGUAAAGAGGCGUUCCACCAGAAAUAUUAGGACCAUAGGUAAACUGAGGGUCUUCCUCAAUCAAUAAUUUCACCACCUCAGGGUGAUGAUACCUCACUGCUUCAUGCAAGGCUGUGUCUUUCCCCUCAUUGGCCAUCCUCAGAAUGGCCUUAUCUACUCCAACCCCACUUUCAAUCUCAUCGGGAAGUGCUUUUGCGGCUUGAAUUAGAGCUUGGACGACUGUCAAAUGCCCUUCUCUUGCUGCAAGGUGAAGUGGGGUAUCUCCUUUCAGAUUGCUCUGUCCCGGUAGAGAUGAAGAGGAAGUCAAUUGAAGGAUCUGUUUGACAGAGUCCACUUGACCGAAUUGAGCUGCUAUAUGGAGGAUAGUGUUCCUUUUUGGGGUCAGUUGGAGGCCAAGAUCACAAGCUUCUAGCAUCUGCUCCAGCUUGCUGAUGUUGCCUUUUAAUGUAGCCGUGUACAAACCAGCAUCCAUGUAUGUGGUCUUGGUUUGGCUAUCAUCGUAAGCUGCAAAUGGGACCAAGUUGUCUAGAUCUGCACUAUCAUCAGAAGUAUUGGGUUGAUCCAUGCGUGACUGAGCGAUACUGCCUUCUUCAACUGUUCUAAUGCUUCUUAGUGAUGUGGAAUGAAGAUUAUCCUCCAUAGCAGAGUCUCAAAAAAAAAAGGAAAAAAAAGCUGAGUGGUUUCAAGAGCUGAUGCAGGAGAUGGUGGGAAGAGGGAACACCACUAAGGGAAUAUGCACUUUGUGUUUAGAAUUUGAAGGUGGGUGCAGCAAUGCUUUGCUUUUGCUUUCAACUCCGCGUUAGCUUGACCUUUGAAAAGAUUCUCUUUGUUUCAAAUUUGCUGUGCGAUUGACCAAGGCAAUAGAUAUGCGUGUUAGACUUCAAAAGGGGGAUGGAUUUAUAAAUUAUCUGUCCAUUCACUGCUAUCAUCACAACAUACUAAAGAUAAAGCAUGAUUAAUUAUUACAUCAUCAGAAGAGAGCACAAAAUUGGUCUCUUCUGGGCAGGUGAUGCGACUCUGCGUGGAAAUGAGUCAUUUGGAAGAGGUCAGAAUUCAUUAUUGGAUUAGUACAGACGUAUAUGAGGAUCCACUUGCCGGUGUGGGACCCCCCUAUCCACUUAGCCACCGACGUUUCCGUGUAGAACGGUGGAUGGCCGUCUCACCGCAUUCUGAGUUAGACUUCAAUUUUUUGGUGUUUUUUGGUGGACUCCGCCUCCUUUUUGUUCAUUUCAUUCUACUCCUAUCUUCGCUGCCCUCUUGUGUUUUCUUUUCAUACUUAGGUAGGUAGGUCUUAAUUAUUUUUUAGAUAGAUGUAUGAAAUUUGAAUUUUAUAAAGUGAAUUCCUAUUUUAUGAUUUUAUUUUUUAUUUUUUAUUUUUAUUAUUUUUUUUAUUUUUACAAAUAAACACACUUUUACCUGUACUUCACCAUAUCUAGUCGAGAAAGUUUUUAAAUAUCAUUCCUGUAAAAUGACUUUCACCAAAUAGUUGUCACAAGUUUCACUAUAGGAAUAAUGUCUUAUAGUAGCGGCCAAUGACUCUCACUAAAGGUCAUAAAUGGUGUGGCUACAAAUUAUCGUUGCACAAAAGUUGAUCGUCACAUACUGUAACUAUAAGUGGUGCAACUAUGUCUUGUAGCUGCAACUGUGAAGGUGACCGUGAGCACAAGUUAAAGCCAAUGUUUUCAGAAUCGAACCGGUCAUUGAAUCGAAAAAAUUGAUGGUUCACGGUUCAGUGGUCGGACCGACGGUCAAACUGUGGUUGAACCGGUGACAUUAUAAAAUUAAUAUUUUUUUUAAUAUUAUUAAAAAUAAACUAUUUAUAAGAAAUUAUAUAUAUAUGUAUAUAUAAUAAAUUUUUUUAAUAAUAUUUCAAUUUUAUAUUUGAUAUAUCAAAUAUAAAAAUAAUAAAGAUGAAAUAUAAAUGAAUUUUUACUUCUAGAGAGCCCAAUUUUAUGCCCAUUUAUACCUAUUUUUAGAGAAUCUAUUUGGACCCUUCAUUUUGAACCUAUUUAACCCUUCAUUUUCAAUUCAUCUCCAUCGUUCAUUCAGAAACAAACCCUAAAACCCAUCUCUUCCACCAUAAUCGCCUCCCCAUAUUUUCCUGUCUCUUCUUUUUCUCACUUUCUUCUUCUUCUUCUCCUCAAAAUCCAUCUCUUCCAGUUCCCAGCACAAUUGCACCUCCCCAUUUUUUUUUUCCCAUUUCUCUUCUUCUCCUCUCUUUCUUCUUCUUCUUUUUCUUCUCAUCUUCUCCCAUUUCUUUUCUUUCUUUCUCUCUUUCUCUCGUUGUGCUCACGCCUGUUGUCACCGCCAACCAUCUCGUUGCCAACAAUAGCUCCUACAACGAUCGGUUGCCUGCCAACAACAUCCCAUCCCCACUAUCCCACUAUCUCUCUCUCAUGGGAACAAAAAAAGUGUAGUGAACUAUUCGAUUCACUACAAACUGACCGAUUCACUUGGUUUAUUGAUCCACUCGGUUUACCGAUCCAAUCGUCAGUUCCAAUAGUUUGAGGCUAGUUUAAUAAGUCGUCGGCUUCAAAAGGUGGACCAGAUCGGAAAGAUCACUGGCCGAUGGUUGGACAGGUUAGACCAGUCAGUUCGAUCCAGUUUUUAAAACAUUGGUUAAAGCAAUAGUAGCAACCACAGGUAAAGUACAGCAAAAGUCAAAGCAAUAGUAGUAGCCACAAGAAAGUGCAACAAAUGGUUCUUAUAGUUGCAUGUUGCUUUGGCCCCUACUAAAUGACAUAUAAUUGCAGUUUGGAGUUGGCUGUAAUUAUAGGUUAUUAUUAUUAAUUUUUUGAGACUCAUUUACGAGGUUCUCCAUUAAAUCCUUCCAAACACUACAAAAAUGGUUUGGAUCAAAAGCAUUUUUCUUUUGAGAAUUUGAAUCUAGAUAUUUCGACAUUCCAUUCAAAAAUUUUCUUUUGAGAAUUUGAGUAUAUAUAAUUUUUCUUUUGAUAUUAUAUUCAAUUUCAUGUUGUAAUAGUAGUUGGACCUUAUACCAACCAACUCCUAACUGAAUGACAUUUUUUUCUGGAUCCCUUUCAACGCUAAUAGAAAUUGUAGAUUGUGUAAACAGAAAAAGAAAAAGGCUAACCCCUUCAAGAUUGGCACAAAAGCUUCAUGGUAUUAUUCCAAAAUUUAGAGAAAUACAAAACGCAUAGAACAACAAAAAUGCCUCUUCUAAACAUGAUAUCAAUAUUACAUUUGUAAACCUUUUUUCAGCAAAAAAAAAUAAUAGAACCAUCAAUGAAUAUAUAUAGAUGGUGAAGUCCCAGCAAAACAAACCUGCACGAACAUGAAAGAGAUCCUUUAGAUCAACAUAUUGAGGAUAUGACUUGACACUAAAAAAGACAGGCCAAGAAGCUUUGAGAUUUGAUGUUUUGUUAACAGAGAUCAAUGAGGACAUGGAACAACAUAUUUAAAUAGUUACUUUUUCUAUGAAUAAGAUAAAAGAAAUUAUACGAGUAACAAAACACCAAUGCUUAUUUGAACAAAAUGCCAUUCAUGGACAAAAACUAAAGAAACUAGCUGAGAUUAGGGGGCAAAGCCAUGAUAUUAUCAAUCAUCAUUCCGAUGCAAAACACUAGGCAAACUAUUAUUACCAUUGAGAGCGGCAUGAUAUAUUCGCUUCUCAACAAGUCUAAUAUCAGACAGUAUCAGAUUACCCUAUAGGCAAAACAGAAGCAACAAAUGAAAUGUGAGUUGCAACAAUCAGUUAAUCAAAAUCGCAUUUUUGAACAGUAUAGGAACCUAACAUUCAAACAAAAUGGUAUGAACAAGAAACUGUUAUUCCUUUCAUGAUACAAGGAUUUUUUUCCGUCAUAAAUUAGUAAUUACUUGAUACAGAGUAAAAUUUAAGGGUACAAUAGACAUUGCCGCCUCAUAAUUCAAGAACCAACCAUCAAGAAACCUAUGUUGAAAUCUAAUCACCACAUCCAAAUAGGUAUUUCUCUAGUCUCAACAAGUGACACCAAGAAAUUUUUGUAUCUAGUGAAUACGUUUGCACACACAUGUACAUGCACUCUCAAGUUCCAUAUAAAUUAUAAGUAGAUAUUGUAGGUACAUGGCUGUGACCAAUUCUUGUCCUAGCUAAUAGUUCUAGGCUAGCCCAAGGGUGUCCCUUUUCCAAAUUUUCUCUUUAUGAUGUUGUUUUAUCCCUCUAGGGAUAGAUUGUUAAUGGUCACAACCUCAACAAUCUUUUUCAUGUUUUCAUGCAUAGAUCAAUUUAAAAAGGAAAAAUGCAUUAUUUUCAGAGUUUGAACUUCCAUUAUUUUACCAUAGCUACAAUUUUUACAUUUUUUGGUAUUCAUGCCCUAGUUCAAUCACUCUCUUACUGACAUGUGCUUAUGGUGUUUUCUUACAUGCUUAUUGAUGAAAUCCUCCAUUCCCAAGUCCACAAUUCAUUCUAAGUUUAUCAAAAGACAUCAAGGCAUCAUAGAAAAUCAACAGUUCUAAUAUUAUAACAUCUCCAACAUUUGCAGAAAAUUAAAGCUGUGAGAUCAGGCUACAAAGAAGAAUAAUCAGAAAUAAAGCAUGAGUAAAAUUAAAAACAAGUAAUUAAAGGAGCAGCCAGCAUAAAAUUUGAUGAUCUUUAGUAGGAAUAUACCUUCAAAAUUUCUGGGAUUAAGGCAUUAGGACUUUUUGAAGAAAAUGCUGCAACUCGAGGAGUAGGAGGAUGAGAUCCCAAUACAGUUUUUGUUGGGAAAAUUCUAGAAACCAGUUUUCUAUUCAUGUAAAUGGAAUAGCCUUAAAUGAGAAACACAAAGUAAUUCAAUUAUCUCACACUGAAUCUUCAUCAUCAAAGAGUAGAAAAAAACUGUGUAUGAUUGAUAUAGGAUAGAAUGCUGUCCCUCAUGCCCCUUCCAACUCCACCAGCUUCUCUGACUACUGCACUCUUUGCCAGCUUGGAAUCUGUUGAACUCUCAGCAUGUUGGCAUACCAAAAUCUUCCAUCUAGCUUUAGUAUUAUUCAAGGAACUCUCCAAACAGUAGCUAGAGGGACAAGUAAACAAGAAAACAUAACUUGAGAUUUUUCAUUUAUGCAUUAAUAUUGUCAGGUCCAUUCUGCUUCACCUGGAUUGAUAGGGAGUGAAGUAUCCUGCAUAGGCUUCUGAAGCAGAGAUGAUGCUUGUGGAGGCAUUCAUUUCAAACAGACUCAGACUUUCACCCUAUUCAAUGACCAAGAAAUGUUUUAAGAGCCUGAGAAUAAUGUAUAAAUCUACAACAUGAACAAGGAAAUAACAUUACAUUGAAAUUAGCACCAUCUCCUAAUACGAUUUCAGAUAUAAAAUUCCUAUCUGUUGAACUAGCAGCAACAGUGAUCAUCCAUGGAGCAAGGUUUGUUGCUGAACCUUAAUUUCCUUCCUUUCCAACUGAAGCAACUACCACUACCCCAUGGCUAGCAGCAUGCAAUGACCCCAAGGAGAUGGCAUCAUUAAAAUAAUCUCCCUGCGGAGCUUCAUAACCUAAGGACAGACAAGAUAUAAAUGCCAUCUCUAAUUGCAUCAUCAAAGGCAGCUAGUAAGCCCACAUCAUAGCAACCUGAGUCCCAACAAGUCUUGUACACUGCAAUCCUUGCCAUUGGAGCACCUUCUCUAGCACCUCCAGCUGCCAAGCCCUUAUAAUUCCUGUUUGUCACAUACCGGCCUGCAGCUGUUGGGGCUGUGUGGCUGCCAUGACCAGAACUGUCCCUAGGGGAUUUGAAUGACACAGACGUUAUCGGAUCUUCUUCAGCUUCAUAGCCACUCAAAUAAUAUCUGGUUCCAAUCACUUUCCUAUGUCAUAAUUUUUUUAAAAGAGUAAGGAUCCCUCUGUCAAUAAAUUUCCAUCAAAUGAUCUUACCAAAUAAGGUGUUACUAUUAUAAAACCUGUUGCAAGAUGAUGCAUUAAAUGCUUCUCCUGAUUGGUAUUGUCCAUUCCAUCCAGUUGGUACUAAGGCAUUGUCCAUUCCUUCUAAAUAUUUUAUCAAAGGAAACAAGAAUUAGUUUGAACAGUGCCACAAUCAAGUCAAGAAAGAUUUAAAGUUUGAACAAUACCACAGUCAAGUCAAGAAAGAUUUAAACAUGCUCUUCGGAUGAAAUCCAGGUGAUCAUUCAACCACUCCAUCACAACUCAAACAAGACAUGCAUAGAAAACAAGUUCAAUUACAACAAUAUAGGGCAUAGAUAUUGAUCAUUGUUGAGAAACAUAUAUAGUUGCUAAAUGUACAUACAAACAUCUCAUUUUAAAGCCUGGUUUGGCCAUAUUUGAAGAAGUUUUGGAUUGUGCACCAUACCUAGAAGCCAUUAGUUGACUCUCUCUAGAUUGUGCACCUUGUUUUAUUAUGACAUCCUCUUCUUGUUCAAGUAUUUGGAAAAGCAAGUCCCGAAUUUUUCCUCCCUACAAAUGGAGAAGCAUUUAAAUUUUAAAAUAAACCCCAAAAGCAGGGAAGGAUUUUGUCCCUAUAUAAUAUGACAUAAACCUAUACUUUAAGUAGGCAGACAACAUUUUAGACUGUAGAACCUCAGGCGCUACCAACUCUCCUAAAAACAAUUGCUUGUAGGAAAGGCGCAUACCCUAACCUUAUAGUGCAUUCACCCAAGCGCCCACGGCGAAUACAAGGGGAGUUGAUGGACGCGGCCAACCCUCCGAUCUGCCAAUAAUCUCCCCCCUAGCGACACCCCUGGGGUUCGAACCUGUGACCUCGGCUCUGAUACCACUUGUAGGACCUCAGACGCUAUCAACUCUCCUAAAAGCAAUUGCUUGUAGGAAAGACGCAUACCCUAGCCUUAUAGUGCAUUCACCCAAGCGCCCACGGCGAACACAAGGAGAGUUGAUGGACGCGACCAACCCUCCGAUCUGCCAAUAUAGACUUUAAAUGGCUACAACCAGAUGGUGAUUGAAAAAUAAGCAGGAAAUAUCAGUCUGGUGGAUUAUGUUCCUCUCUGAACAUAUUUUUAGGAUAAAAAACUAUUAAAUAAAUCUCUUUUGCAGCGCAAUAAAUAAGUCUAACAGUUUCUUUAUGCCUGCUAAGGCUAGAGUUAAUACUUGAAGUGGGACAAAUCGCGAAUUGAAGAAUUUUGAAGAUAUAUCUUCCGAAGUUUCCUUAUGCCACUUUUUUAACUCCUCCUAAAGGUAACUACUGUUGGGAUUUUGUUUCUCCUGGAUCUUCGGUAACAAAUCGAAGACUUGGUUCGGAAUGUGGUCCACAUUCAUUCCAUCAAUUUAGGAAUGAGGAUUAACGUUCAGAACCACGUUCGCAUCACUACCCCAUGUUUUGUGCAUGCUCGAAGCAGACUCAGUGAUGGAGAGAGGCUUUAAAAAGGGGCAGAGCACUAAUGGGUAGUAGGGUCUCCUAAGCCUUCAAUAUUUUUCAGUCUUAAAACACCAUCUAAGAAGAGGUUGAGAAAGGUUUAGAAGCACCUGAAGCCAGAAAAAAAAUAAAAUUGAAGACGCUAUUUUUAACCUAUAAGAAUGGCAAUGGCGGGAGGUACUUUUUCGAUAUGUUUUCAAUUCCGCUUAUGAUCUAAUUGUUAUUUAAGGAUUGUUAUGAGCAUGAUUAGAUAAUUUAUGUCUAACAUUUGGUAUCAGAGCUUUUGUAUGCCUUUGUCUUAUUCGUUUUUACAAUAUGUGUUUUUAAUAAAAAAAUACAGUGAGUUUUGGUAUUUUGGGGUUUAUAGUUUUUUAGAAGUUUUUAAUGAAAAAUAUCGUUAGAAAUGAUUAGGAGAUGAGAUUUCUAAUAUUUUAGUGUUUUAAAUCAUCAAUCUUCUAUCUAGAAUACGUGGAAAUUGUUGGGUUUCAUUUCGAGUCACAAAUGGGUCAAACAAACCCGGUUGAAGGUAGAAGACAACUACAUAGGCUUGUCGUUUUGACUGUAAACAAACAAGAAAUAAGUGAAAAAGAAAUAAGAAAAUGGGCAGCAAUAGCCUAGUUGGUCUUAACCUUGCCUUUCCCCAAUCAUUGCCCAAGUUCAACUCCUCCCAACAACAAUCUUUUAUUUUUAUUUUUAUUUAUUUAUUUAUUUAUUUAUUUAUUUGUGAAAAUUCAUAAAAUUUAGUGUUUUAAGAUAUGUUAAUUUAUGGGUUUCUUUAUGGAUAUUUUAUGUGCUAAAUUAUUUAUUUUUGUUAGUUGUAAUGUAUAUUUUUAUGGUUUAUUAUGCAUACAACAUUAAGUUAAAUAAUUUUGCACAUUAAAUUGAUUCUUAAAGGCUCUUUAUGGAUUUAAUUUUAGAUAUUUAUGUGCUUAUAAUAUUUAUUUCAUAAUUUUGUGUAUAUGAUAUAUUGUUUUAUUAUACAUGCAAUAUUGAGUUGAAUAAUAUUAGUACAUUGAUAUUGAGUUUUGUGUACAUAUUGCUUAUGGUUUCAUGCAAUUUAUAUAAGCUUUUCUUGUGAAUUAAUUAAAUGUCAAGUGAUCCAUAUAAUUUUAAUUAAUUAAGGGGUAGUCACAACAUCUUUAAUUAUGCAAAAUUAUACAUUAAGCGUUUUAGAAUCACAUAUAGAAAAAUGGCAUUACGGAUAAUUAAUUAUAUUUGAUAUAAUAAAAUUUUAUCCCACAUGAAUUUUUUAUUAUAUUUGUAUGAUUAAUUAGGAUGGAACAUCAAAUUAUAUUUCUUAAUUACCCACAGGAAUUAGGAAAUGAAACAUAAUUUGAUAGUUUUAUCAUAAGGUUUUACAUGGAUUAAUUGAAUUAGAACUUUAGCCCACAUGCAAGUUUUAUGCCACUAGAUUCAUAAUUUUGGAACAUGAGUUGCAUUGGUAAAACAUGAUAUAUGGUUAUUAGUCUCAAUUUUGAAUUAUAAAUAUGUAUGUUUAAUUUUUGUGCAGUGAUGCAACCUGCGAAUUUCUCUAAUAUAAAAUGUAACAUUCCCGAAUUGAAAGGUGAUAACUGUAAGGUUUGGAAUGAGAGAAUUCUCUUUCAUUUGGGGUGCAUGGACAUUGAUUAUACUAUCAGGAAAGACAAGCCAACCAUUACUGACACCGGUACUACAACAGAAAAGGCUCUUUAUGAACAAUGGGAGCGAUCAAAUCGCCUUAGUCUAAUGUUCAUAAAGACCAAAAUCUCUGAUGGUAUUCGUGGUUUUGUCGAUCAACAUGACAAUGUCAAGGCAUUAUUGAAGGCUAUUGAUGAGCAAUUUGUGACUUUAGAUAAGGCACUUGCCAACACCCUGAUAAUGAAGUUUUCAUCCUUAAAGCUCACCAAUGUGAGUGGUGUGCGAGAGCACAUAAUGCAGAUGAGGGAUAUUGCGACACAAUUGAAGACACUUGAGGUUGAAAUGUCUGACUCAUUCCUUGUGCACUUUAUUUUGAACACUCUUCCAUAACAAUAUGGACCCUUCAAAAUCUUUUACAACACACAUAAGGAUAAGUGGUCAAUUAAUGAGCUUCUAACCAUGUGUGUUCAAGAGGAGGGAAGGUUGAAAAUGGAAUUGGGUUAGAGUGCAUUAAUAAAAAUGGUAGGAAAAGAUCAUAAUCAGGCCAAAAAGAAAGGGAAAGGUAAAAUACCACCCCAAGGUGGAAUCAAGAAGGUCAAUAGAUGCUUCUUUUGCAAGAAGAAAGGGCACAUGAAAAAGGGUUGCACCAAAUUCUAGAAAUGGCUUGAGAAGAAAGGUAAACCAAUCUCAUUUAUUUGUUAUGAAUCUAAUAUGGUUGAUAUUAUUUAUAACACAUGGUGAAUUGAUUCUGGUUCUACAAUCCAUGUUUUGAAUAGCUUGCAGGGUAUGCGAAACCUGAGGAAGCCAAUGCUAAGUGAGCAAUGCAUUUAUUCAGGAAACAAGAUGCGUUCACAUGUGGAGGCUGUUGGAACAUGCAGUUUAGUUUUAAGUAGUGGUUUUAUUUUUGAUUUAGAAAAGACAUUUUAUGUUCCAAGUUUCUCUAGGAAUUUGAUUUCAAUUUCAAGAGUUGUACCUUUAGGUUAUUCCUUUAGUUUUUAUGAGACAUCUUUCAGUUUGUUUUAUAAAUCUAAUCUUGUUGGAAAUGGUACAUUGUCUAAUGGUCUUUUCUCUAUCAAUUUGCAAAAAUGAUACCACUAAUAACACUAUGCAUGUUCACACUAGUACAAAACGAUGUGUUAUGAAUGAAGAUUCCUCUAUGUUGUGGCAUCGGAGAUUGGGACAUAUCUUCAUACAAAUAAUUAAGAGAUUACUAAAUGAUGGAGUGCUCAGUACUUUAGAUUUUACUGAUUUUGACACUUGUGUGGAAUGCAUUAAGGGAAAAUAGACCAACAAGUCUAAGAAGGGUGCCAAGAGGAGCAUAGACAUAUUAGAAAUCAUACAUUUAGAUAUUUGUUGUCCAAACAUGGACGUAUAUGGUCCGAAAUACUUCAUCUCCUUCAUAGAUGAUUACUCACGAUACAUGUAUAUCUACUUGCUUCAUAACAAGAAUGAAGUGUUGGGUGCCUUUAAAGUUUUUAAGGCUGAAGUAGAGAAACAAUGUGGAAAGCAAAUAAAGAUUGUGAGAAUAGAUAGAGGUGGAGAAUAUUAUGAUAGAUACAUCGAGGAUGGACAAGCACCUAGUCCAUUUGCGAAGUUUCUUCAAGAGCAUGGGAUAGUUGCUCAAUACACCAUGCCUGGUUUCCCAGACCAGAAUGGUGUGGCUGAAAGAAGAAACCGAACAUUAAUGGACAUGGUUAGGAGUAUGCGUAGGAACUCCAAGCUUCCUGAAUCCUCCUGAAUCCUUGUGAACUGAAGCUUUUAAAAUGACAGUGUAUAUAUUGCAACUUGCUCUGGGCUGCUUGUGUAUGGAGAUGGAAUCGAGUGUGCAGUUGAGUCAGUCCCUGCAGCUCCUUCAAUUGCUAGUUUGGGUCGUGGUAUCCGAAGCUUACACCAAGCUUCUCAGGCACGAUGCAAACUGACAGCAAUAAGAUACAUAAAUCUAUAGAAUCCCUAAUGUACAGGUUCAAUAAAAUAAGAAUUUCAAAUUUCCCUUUGAUGUAUAUUCAUUAAUGCCUUCCAUAAAGUGAUGUUGUUUGGAUUAUAAUCAGUGAAAUUUCUGAGAUUUCUUCUGUGCAUAUAGAUCCUACGAUAUUGUUUUGUUUUGUGAUGGGUGGUUGAUUUUUGUUGGCUCUUUUGUAUUCUGUAGCUUCUUUUUGAUCAGAUAUUCCAUAGCUUCUAAAUGCACAUAAAUUUUUUUUUUGAUGCUUGAGAGAAAUUUUAGGAUACCUUUUCCAAUGUUGAUGAUGGAAUGUGUCCUAAUUCUUUUAGGCAGAGCCAACUUGAUUCAAAAUUAUACAGAAAAUUUUUUGAAGGAUCUUCAUUCUUUACUGAUGAUGCGUUUCUAAUUGUAUUCGUCUUGUAUUAUUUCCUGACUUUUUUCUUCAAAAUUCCUUUCUAAUUCUGAUAAUUUUCUUUUUCCCGAAUAAUAAAUCAUGAGCUGGAAGUGAUUCUUGUUGUCCUCAACGCUCUCGAAUUUUUAGAGAAGGCCAGUUCAAGGCUUAAUUAAUUGUGUGCAUUCCCACUUUUUGUUCUAAUUAGCAAAUUAUUUGUUAAGAUAGUGAUUGCUGUAGUAUAAGCAAAUUCCCAUAUCAUUUCUUGUAUUAAAUAAAGCGUCACAUUUUUAAGCUGAUUCAAAAUUCCCCUAAAGCCUAUAUUUUCUGUUUAUUUGGUGACUGCGUCUAUAACAAUUUGGGGGUAUGUAAUUGGAUUGAUGAAAUGACUGGCAUCAAACUGUGAGUUGACAGGUGAUGUUCAUCUGAAUAUCCGAUUGCAAAUGGUAAUAUCCACAGGGGAAGCUUCCUGGGAUGAGCACCUUGAGUAUGGUUAAGGAUUUUGUGGAUAAGAACCAAGUGGUAUUGGCUCUUAUGACCUUGGAAGCUGUUCAAUGGUCAAGGUAUGAAUAUUUUAUGCUUAGCUUUCCUACUUGUUUUGAUAGGUAUAUUAGCUUAAUUAAUUUUAACAUUGACUGGUGUUAUUCAUUACUUGUAAAGAUAAGGAUUGUCUUGCAAUUCCAAUUCACUGCUCUCUUCCACUCCAUUACCUGCAUUCAUUGAGGUUUUCAUGGAUAAUGUUCAUUCAGAGUCUGCAAUUUCCUGUCCUUGGAUCAGUUUUUGAGUCUUCCAAUUGCAUCAAAGUAAACAAACGUGAUAGUCCUACAAUUUAUCUAGCAUUGAACAUGAUUUCAAGUCUUAACUAAAAUACAGAGUUAGGUCUUUUCUGACUCAACCGAUCCUCCAUUCACAAAAUUUUGCAAUAUUUAUACCAUAUACAAAUAUGAAAGAAAAGGCAAGAGGUCACACUUGUACUUGACAAACACAGCAGUUUACUCUCAUCACUGGACUCUGCAUCAUAAACUUAAUGUAAGUGUUACUUUAACUGUCAUCCACAAGAGAGGUCGUGUUAUUAUUUUAUUUGUCAUGCAAAUGUUAGGAUGCAUUCAAUGGUUUUGAUCAUUAUGAUUAUCCUGUUGGUUCCCUUUCUAUCUGUAGCCCAUUUGGGGAGGUUUGCUGCUUCCUGGAGAUCACUCAACUGCCUCUCAGCUAGUUGGUCAAUUGGAAUCUCUUCUGAUGGUUAUGAUUUAUUUGUCCUUUCUGAAUUCCUAUUGGCAACAUUGAUCCUAGAACCUGGGGUUUGUAUCAUGCUUUGGCUUAUCAACAUCAAUGUUGUUUUCCUUCUCUAUAGUUUAAUUUCUGAAUCAAUAUCUAUGGUUCAUAGAACACGGCUGUGCUGUAGGUCACACAUGUAUGGACAUGACAUGCACAUAUGGAAACAUUUGUCAGUUUUAUGUAAUUAAUCAUGUUUGAUUGAACAUAUAUUCUUUUGGUGUUACCCUGAACCAUGCCUCUUAAAGCAGAUUCUGAAGAGAUGAAAGCAGCCUUCUUUAAUAAAUGGCUCAGACCAUUUUAAAUAGGGGAAAACACUCUUAACAUAAGUUUUAUUCUGAUUUUGAGCCUCUGUUUUCCAAGACUGAUGCAAUUAAGAGGUGGCUGAGAAGGAGAGGAGGAGGAGCAGUUUCAAUGAGCCCUCACAGAUCCUGAAAGCUUAAUUGGCUGCCAAUAAAAGGAUGAAAAAUAAUGGAAUUAAAAAGAAGCCUGCUAUCAAUCUCUCCUUGUAAUAGGCCAGCUCAGCCUGUCCCCAUUUGUUCAUUUAUGGACUUUUUAAAGAAUGUAUUUAUUUUCUAAGAUGGCAUGCUUCUUCUCCUUUUGCUAUGAGCAAAUCAGUUUCAGAGUUGGGGCUGUUCAAUAGACAAGCACCGAGUGCUUCCACAUCGAAGAGCUGUGGCUACCAUAGAGGAGGGUCUUCAUCAAGUUAUCAAACAAAUUCUACUAAUGAUUCUGGUUCUUCAGAUCAGAGCUAUGAGGGAUAUUUUGCAUACUUGAAGAGUUCAUAUCUUACUAAAAUCCAUUUGAUGGGAAUCUCAAAAGGGCAUGUGGUAAUACCGUGAGUUUCUAUAUCCUAUUAUAACAUUAUAAUUUUAUACUGGGUUUAAAAUUUAGACUCAAAAGUUUAUUACUUUCUACUAGGUCUCAAGAUCUAGGCUCAUAAUUUACCCUAAUGAUUUUUCUGAUUAAUACAUUCAAAAGAAACUGAGUUUAAAUACUGUUGCUACAGAUCUUGCUCUAAAUACUACCAUAUUCCACAUACAAAAAUUUUGCUUGGCUUAUAGAUGGAUCAUAGUUGUUAAUCAUGUAUCGUUAGUUUUUUUAUAUAGUGAAAAAUGAAUAGAAAAAACAUGUUUACAUGGGCAUAUAUAUUGGAAGCAUGAAGUAUAGAUUAAUAUAAAACUAACCUCAUAAAAGAUGCCGGAUUUAAAGAAUUAAACUGUAUCAUACCAUAAGAAAACAUUGAGUACGAGUUUUAAAAAGUUUAGUUUGACAAAAUAUAAGUUUAAUGUAUAUGUUCAUCACAAAAUCCACAAAAAUAAACUUUUUAAAUUUUUAGAAAAUUUGAAGUCUAGAAAAUUUGGAGACUUUGGACCUGAGUGGCGAUUGGUUGUUUGGCAUGAGGCCAUUGAUGGUGUCCAACCUGAAAAUGCUCAGAAAAUUUGUGCUUAAUGACAAUAAAUUUUCCAGCAGCUUACCCACCACCACUGGUAUCCUUGGAGAGCUUAUUGGGCUCUCAGUCCAUGUAGACUCACUCUCUGGGAAUCUUCCAUCAGAGCUUGGAAAUCUUCAGAAUAUUUAGUCCCUUGAUCUAAGCCUAAAUUUCCUUUGGAAACCUCCCUUCCAGUUUAGGAAAUCUUAUGAGGCUUUUUGAUUUUGAUGCAAGUCAGAACAGAUUCACUGGUCCCAUUUUUCCAGAGAUUGGAAAUUUACAGAGGCUUUGAUCACUUGAUGUCUCAUGGAACUCACUGACUGGACCUACACCAAUGGAAGUGGGCAGAUCGAUGAGCUUGUAUUCAAUGUGUGGGAAACAACCACUCUAUUGGGGAAAUACCAGAAACAAUUAGCUAUCUGAGAGAGCUUCAGGUACUUAAUGUCCAAAGUGUUAAGACUGACAGGGAAAGUUCCAGAAGAAAUCUCACUUGACUUACCUAAAUAUAGCACAGAACAGUUUUAAGGGUGAAUUGCCUGCAAGCUUUGGUGGGCUGACACAUCUAAUUUACCUUCUUGCUGCCAAUGCAGGGCUGAGUGGAAGGAUUCUAGGGGAAUUGAGUAACUGCAAGAAGCUCAGGAUUCUAAAUUUAUCCUUUAACUCACUUACUGGUCCAUUACCAGAUGGUCUCAGGGGGCUGGAAUCGUUAAUUCAAUAGUAUUUGAUUCAAACCGCCUUUUAAGUCCUAUUCCCAAUUGGAUUUCCAACUGGAAGCAAGUUGAAUCAUUAUGUUAUCUAAGAACCUGUUUAUUGGGUCACCUCCCCUUCUUAAUAUGUAGAUCCUGACCUUACUUGACAUUAAUACCCAGUCAUUGCCUCCAGAAAUAUGCAAUGCCAAGUCGUUGAUCAUUUUAGUGCCAUCAGAUAACUAUUUCACUGGUACCAUUGAGAAUCAGGAGGUGUCUUGAGUCUCAGAGAUCUGUUAUUGUGUGGAAGCAAUCUCUUUGGAGAAUUGCCUGGUUAUUUGGGGCAACUUCGGCUGGUUACUCUGGAACUCUCAAAAAACUAUUCUCUGCAAAAAUUCCUGAUCAACUGUGGGAGUCUAAAACGCUUAUGGGGAUAUCGUUCAGCAACAAUUUGCUUACAGGUCAGCUUCCAGCUGCUCUUGCUAAAGUUUUGACAUUAUAAGUAACAUCAAAGAACUAAAAAUUUCACUAAUCUGUCACUAUAGGGAAACCAAUUGACUGAGGGAUCCCAUUGGACCUUUUCAACUGUAAGGAGUUGGUAUCCCUGGAUCUAGGUGCAAACAGGCUUACGGGUUCAGUUCCAAAAUCUAUAUCACAGUUGAUCUUCAAAUUGAUAAAUGGUAGUUUUUUCAUUCAUACUUUCAUUCGUUCAUGUAAAGAGUAUAUAUAGAGGGUAAUCACCAUUUUAAGAAUGGGAAAGAAUGAUACAAGGAAAGAAUGAUAUAAGGAAAUAACAACUAAUAUCCUAAUAUCUCAACUUUCCUAAUAUCUCAAUAUUCCUAAUAUCUCAAUAUUCAUAAUAUCUCAACUUUCCUAAUAUCUAAACAUUCCUAAUAUCUCAACACUAAAUGAUAUAAGGAAAGAAUGAUAUAAGGAAAGCAUUCCUAAUAUAUCUACACUCCCCCUCAAGUUGGUGCAUAGAUGUCACACAUGCCCAACUUGUCUAAAAUUUUUGAGAACACUUGACUUGAGACAACUUUGGUAAGGAUAUCGGCCAAUUNNNNNNNNNNNNNNNNNNNNNNNNNNNNNNNNNNNNNNNNNNNNNNNNNNNNNNNNNNNNNNNNNNNNNNNNNNNNNNNNNNNNNNNNNNNNNNNNNNNNCAGAUGUAGAUUGCCUAUCAUCCACUGCACUGACCCAAUCAGCAUCAGUAUAUACUUCUAUACUCUGAUGAUCAACAUUUUUAGCGAACAAAAUUUCCUUCCCAGGAGCAUUCUUCAAAUACCUCAAAAUACGCAUGACUGCAUUCAUAUGUUGCUCUCCAGGAUUAUGCAUGUAUUGACUCACUACACUCAAUGCAUAAGCAAGAUCUGGUCUUGUAUAAGCUAAGUACAUUAAUCUCCCCACAAGUCUCUGGUAUCUUCCCUUAUCGGUUGAUACUUGAUUAGGCUCAACACACAAUUUCAGACCUUUUUCUAUUGGUGUAUUAACAGGUUGACAUCCUGACAUUCCAGUCUCCUGUAAAAGAUCUAAGGCAUACUUUCUUUGAGACAAAAAAAUUCCUUCACUUGAUUGAGAAACUUCAAUCCUAAGAAAGUAUUUCAGAGGACCUAGAUCUUUCAUCUCGAAUUCUCUAGAUAGAUAAUUUUGCAGAACUUUUCUUUCUUCAGGAUCAUUUCCUGUAACUACCAUGUCAUCCACAUAUACGAUUAGUGCCGUAAUCUUACCAUGUUGCUUUUUCAGGAACAAAGUGUGAUCUGAAUUACUUUGAUGAUAGCCAAAAGCUCUCAUUGACUUUGUGAACCUUUCAAACCAUGCUCUCGGGGAUUGCUUCAACCCAUACAAUGACUUCUUCAAUUUGCACACCUUCUGACAUUGCUUUUUUGACACCAUGCAUCCUGGUGGAAGAUCCAUAUAUACUUCUUCAGAUAACUCGCCAUGCAGAAAGGCAUUUUUCACAUCGAAUUGUUGUAAUGGCCAAUCUAGGUUUGCAGCUAAAGACAGUAAUACUCGAACUGUGUUGAUCUUAGUUACAGGUGCAAAUGUCUCUGUGUAGUCAAUUCCAUAAGUUUGAGUGUACCCUUUUGCUACCAGUCUUGCUUUAAAUCGUUCAAUACUACCAUCUGCCUUGUACUUCACAGUAUAGAUUCAACGACACCCAACUGGCUUCUUUCCUGGUGGACAUUCUAGGAGUUCCCAUGUUUCAUUCUUCUACAAUGAUUUCAUCUCUUCAUUCAUGGCUGCUUUCCACCUUAGAUCAGCUAAGGCUUCCUACACACUGUUAGGAAUAGCUACAGUAGAUUAUUGAUUUACAAAUGACUUAUUUGAUUCAGACAAACGAUGGUUAGACACAUAGUUGCUCAUGGGAUAUUUGACUUUGGUAGACAAUUCAGGUUCAUAUGUGGGUUUAGGAAUACCUCUAUUAUGACGGUGUGGUAAUCGUUUCAUGAAUGGAUUAGGUUCCAAAUUAAGAACACCCUCAACAGACGACGAUUGGUUUGGUAUUUUAGUGAAGACAUCUUCGGACCCAAAUUGUUGACCACUCAUAUCCAACUCACCCGCUUCUUGGUUCACUAGUUCAGAUUGUCUAAAUUCAUCUUCCUCAGAGAUAUGAUAAUCAUAAUCGAGAGUCUAAAUUUCCUUAUGGACUCCCCCUCNNNNNNNNNNNNNNNNNNNNNNNNNNNNNNNNNNNNNNNNNNNNNNNNNNNNNNNNNNNNNNNNNNNNNNNNNNNNNNNNNNNNNNNNNNNNNNNNNNNNUGGAGGAUGGUAACAUCAAUAUCCCUUUUUGUGCAAUGCAUAUCCAACAAACACACAUUGCAAAGCAUGGGAAGUUAACUUGGUGCGUUGGUGCUUGUGUAGAUGCACAAAUGUCAUGCAACCAAAAACACGAGGAGGUAGAUUUGGGACGGUUGGGGCAACUACGACAUUAGUAAGAAUUUGGAGAGGUGUUUGAAAGUUAAUUGAGCUAGAAGGUACCCGAUUGAUCAAGUAUGCGGCAGAUGUGAUUGCUUCUCCCCAAUAAGAUAUCGGUGUUUUUGCUGCUAUUAAGGAAGCACAAACAACCUCUAACAAGUGCCGAUUUUUUCGUUCAACAACUCCAUUUUGCUAGGGUGUAUUGGAACAAGUAGUCUGAUGAAUGAUGCCAUCUCCUUCCAAAUACUUUUGAAGAUCAGAACUUUGAUAUUCUCCACCAUUAUCACUACGUAGAACCCGAACCUUUGCAUUGUACUGAGUUUCAAUCAUUUUAUGAAAAUUUUGAAACAACAAGUUCACUUCAUCUUUGGUCUUCAUCAAGCAUAACCAUGUCAUUCUGGUACAAUCAUCAAUAAAAAUAACAAACCAACGUGAGCCACUCAAAGUUGGGACUUUGGAUGAGCCCCAAACAUCAGAAUGUAUAACCAUAAAAGGAAACAGACUUUUAUUCAAAAUUAACGGAAACGAAGCACGAUGGAUUUUAGCCAAUUCACAAAUAUCACAACGGAAACCAGAAAUAUCACUCUUUGCAAACAAACUAGGAAACAAUUUUUUUAAAUAACCAAAGGAAGCAUGUCCCAGACGUCGAUGCCACAACCAAAUUUCAAACUUUUUCUUCUCCCCCUCAGAUCCAUCUGCCAUCAAGGCUUGUUGCAACUUAUUUGAAUCCUUUGAUUGCAAGUCCAAGUAAUAGAGUUUUCCCCGCUCAAUACCACAACCAAUCGUCUGUCUUGUUUGGAUGUCUUUAAUCACACAAAAUUCAGGCCAAAAAAUGACAAUACAAGAUAAGGCUGCAGUGAUUGGAGAAACUGAAAAAAGAUUGUAAUCUAAAGAUGGAACAACUAAAACAGAAUCCAAAUUCAAAGUAUCAGUAAGAGUUAAAGAUCCUUCCCUAAUGACUGGGGUUGUGUUACCAUUGGCUGUGGAAACAAUUUUUUGUGAGGAAGGUCUAAGGGGUGAAACCUGUCUAGAAUCAAUUAUCCAUGCACUAUUAAUAACAAGUGUAAAAUUAUUUAAAAACUUACCACCAUGAUCAGUAGCGGAUACCAAUGCAGAGGCUUUCUCAGCAACAUUAGCCUCUGUUUUUAUUUCGGCAACAGUUGCAGUCGAGGUUUUCUUGGAAUCCUUCUUCCAUUGAUCACGAUUAUUAUCAUUAAUAACAAAGUGUUGAUAGCCUAAACAUGAUCUAAAGGUCCAUGGUUCAAACCCUCGGUUCCUCAUUGUUUUCCUGGUCAUACCAAGAGUUGUUGCUUUGAAAUUGUGGGAUAUCCAAACUGGUGGGACUAGUCUUAUUGCAGUGAGUGCAUUUGAAGGUUGACUUAUCAAUAUUAGGGCUUGUCUUAGGAUGGUUGAUCGUUGUCGGACUACCAUAGCAACAAAAUAUCCAGGAUUUCAGUUCCAUGGCUCUGAUACCAUCUUCAAAUUGAUAAAUGGUAGUUUUUUCAUUCAUACUUUCAUUCGUUCAUGUACAGAGUAUAUAUAGAGGGUAAUCACCAUUCUAAGAAUGGGAAAGAAUGAUACAAGGAAAAAAUGAUAUAAGGAAAUAACAACUAAUAUCCUAAUAUUUCAACUUUCCUAAUAUCUCAAUAUUCCUAAUAUCUCAAUAUUCAUAAUAUCUCAACUUUCCUAAUAUCUAAACAUUCCUAAUAUCUCAACACUAAAUGAUAUAAGGAAAGCAUUCCUAAUAUCUCAAUAGUUGAAACGUGCUUGACAAUCUGGUACUAUCCGAUAACCAAUUGUCUGAUCCUAGUCCUGAAAAGAUCUAUUCCAAGUUUCAAAAGGUGCCCAUACUAGAUUGUGUUCACCCAGCAUUAUGGCAUGCUUGAUUUAUCUUAUAAUGAGUUUUUGGGCUCUAUUCCUGCAACAAUUAAGCAGAGCGCAUUGUUGUGACAGAGCUAUUGUUGCAGGGCAAAAAGCUUACUGGUAGCAUUUAUCAUGAGAUUGCAGUUCUGGCAAACUUGACUUUGCUUGAUCUCUCUUUCAAUGUUUGACAGGGCCAGUUAUACCAAAGUUCUUUGCUUUGAGAAACCUUUAGGGACUUGUCCUUUCGCAUAACCAUGUAACUGGAACCAUCCCUGUUGAUCUGGGCUUGUUGGUGCCAAACUAAGCUAGGCUUGAUUUGUUAAACCACUGGCUCAUUGGACCACUUUCCUUAUUUAUAUUUAGCAUGAAGGGCCUGACCCAUCUAGACAUUAGCAUGAAUUCUUUCUUGGGUCCCAUUUCUCUUGAUUUUAAAACCUACAGCCCUCUGUUGGUUCUAAAUGGCAGCAACAACCAUUUGUCUGUGACUUGUAAUGAAAUCUAACUUCUCCUUCCAUCUUAUAUCUUCAGAACAACACAGUCACAAGCAGCUUCUUCAUUCUCAGAACUUGUUGCCUUGACAUACCUCAAUUUCUCCAAUAACAAUUUCCAAAUAUGAUAUGCUAUAUUUGUGACAUAGUAAGCCUUGCCUUUGUCCAUUUCUCUGGCAACAGAUUCAUUGGCUAUGCAAGAGAGAUUUGCAUGAAGGACCAACAGUGCUCAGCACUCCUACCUUUAUCUCUUCUUGGCAGGGCUACCCAGCUGUGAGGGCUCUGACCCAAGCCUCUGCUCGGCCUAUUGUGCCACUUUCAUCUUCCUAGUUCUGUUCAUUUUCCUUCUCAGACAGAGGAUGCUUAGGCAAAAAACUGUAGUUGUUGACAAGGGAAAGGGCAAGUUAGUGGCAGUAGUUGAGCCAUGAUUCACUGAUGAGUUGCUGGGCAAGAAGCUAAAGGGAACACCUAGCAUUAACUUUGCAACAUUUGAGCUCUCUUUGCUCUAGAUGAAACCUUUAGAUAUCUUAUCAGUAACUGAAAACUUCAGCAGGACUAAUAUUAUUGGUGAUGGUGGGUUUGGUACAAUUUAUAGAGCCUCCCUGACAGAGGGAUGAACAAUUGCUGUCAGAAGGCUCAACAGAAGACGUUUGCAUGGUGACCGGGAAUUAUUGGCUGAAAUGGGGAAAGUGGGAAAGCUUAAGCAUGAAAACCUGGUUCUUUUCCUUGGUUACUGCAUCUUUCAAGACGAGAAGUUUUUAGUAUACGAGUGUAUGGAGAAUGGAAGUCUUGAUGUGUGGUUGAGGAAUAGAACAGAUGCAGUUGAGGCCAUGGACUGGCCCACGAGGUUCAAGAUCUGUUUGGGAUCUGCCAGAGGGCGCUUUUCAUCAUGGCAUUGUUCUUCACAUUAUUUUAAGAGAUAUCAACCCUAGUAAUAUCUUUUUGGAUGGUAAAUUUGAGCCAUGGGUAUCAGAUUUUGGCCUUGCAAGAAUCAUCAGUGCAUGUGAGAGCUAUGGUAGUACUAUUCUUACUGGUACAUUGGAUGUAUACCGGUAGAAUACAGGCAUACUAUGGUGGCUAUUGGCUACCAGCAAGGGUGAUGUUUGCAACUUUGGGGUUGUGAUUCUGGAGCUGGUGACAGGAAGGACACCAACAAGUCAGGCUGAUGUUGAGGGUGGCAAUCUGGUUGGCUGGGUGGGGUGGAUGGUUGCAAAUGGGAGGGAAGAUGAUGAGCAGGAUCCGUACUUUUCAACUAUUACAAUUUGGAAGGAUGAAAUGUUAUGUGUGCUUUCAAUUGCAUGAUUGCGCACAUUUGAUGACUCAUGGAAGCGGCGUACCAUGUUUGAGGUGGUGAAGCUGUUAGUGGAGAUAAAGCUGGCAGCUCACUGAAAUUGUAAGUGACUGCAAGUCCAAAAAUUCUAUAACAUAUAUAUUGACUCAAAAUUGAGAAACACAUGUAAAUAAGGGCUUAGAUAUAAGAAUAGAUAUGUGCUAUGAUAUUCAAUAUUAUCUUUUGAACUCUGCAGACCAGGUGGGAAAUGCAUUUUCCUCAAAUGGGACUGCAACUUCUCUCUUAUGUUAACAGGUUAAGUUUGAGAUUUGGCUGUAUGUUUUUAGUUAGGUGACCCGUUCCAAGGCAUUAAUAUCUCCAGCAACAUAGUUAGAUUUAAACCAAGGGAGGCAAAUAAAGAUUAUGUUGUAAUGCUCAAGAAACUUCUCUUCAUUUGUAUUUGCCAGGGAGGGUGUCAACUUUAGCUCCAAGUCUUUAGGAUGUUGGAGGUAUUAGGUGAAGGGGAGAUGAAAUCAAGCGGUAGGGUGUCCAGAAGAGGAAUAUUGCUGUUAUAUUAUUAUGGGCCUUUAAUGCUCUAGUAUAGAGGUUGGAUAUAGCUUUCCUUGGAAGGAGCUUGAAAGCCUCAGCAUGCCUUUGCAUUGUUAUAUGUUGUUUCUUUGAUAGGCAAGUAAGAAUAUAUCAGAAGUGCCAAUAAAAAAGGGGGGUAUGCCUUUGCACCCUCAUAUGCCAAGGAAAGAAUCUUAACUAUGGAUCAGUUGAGUAGAGGAAAGAUGAUUCCUAAUUGAUGUUGUGUGAGUGUUUAGCUAGGUUGGCAAUUCUGGACAAAAUUUCUAAGUGUCCCCUAAUUCGGCUUUCCAAUUCCUCUUCGGAUUACUUGACUUUGAAGACUAAGACUUUGCUAAGAGGCCGAGGUAUAUAGUCAAGUGUGCGGUGAUUGAAUGUGAAUCAACUUUGUUUUUAAUCUUUAAAUGUGUUAGAAAGUUAGGAGAAAUGGUUUGUGGUGCAAGGCUUUAUUCUCCUGUUUCUGGAUCGAUUUAGGUACAAGGCCAAAUCGAUCCAACUAACUUGUUUUUUAGAUCAAAUCUUAGCCAUUAGAUUAAGGGCUUAUUUUUACACUUUAAAAAUCAAUCUUCUCUCACUUUCUGGGUAGAGACUGCAGAAAACGUGGAGAGAGUUGCAGCCACUGCAUGUGUUCUUCAUUUUCUCAUAUCUUUUCCUAAUUUGGGGGUUUUUGAUUGCAAAGAAAAUCCAUUUCUCUUAGUGUUUUCCAAACUAGUUUUUAAUGGAUUUUCUUGAGUAAUAAAUGGGUUGAUUCAUUUCUUCAUUCAUAUAUCAAUCUCUCAUUCUAUUUGGUUUUGUGCAAAAACUCAUUUUCUUUUUGUGUGGAUUCAAGAAGAGGCCGAGAUUGAGCUUGGUGUGGACUCUAAGUGUGCUCUGGAAGAUGAAAGUAAGAAGUUGAAAGUGAAGGUACUAGUUAAGUGGUCUGGGAAGGAUUGAUUGGUUUGAGCUAGGUAAAACCUUGUACUCAGUUUUUAUUCUUUAUGGUGGAGUUUUUCAAUCGGUGGUAGGCUCGUGGUUUUUGAUAUAUUCGGAGGUUUUCCACGUUAAAAUCCGAUGUUAAUUGUCUCUUUCUCUUACUCUACACUUUGAUUUAACUUAUGUUUUUGAAUGGAAGAAAUAUGAGGUGAUAUAAGUGUGAUGAUCCAUGAAAUAUCCUUAAUAAUUUUUUUGCUCAUUUUGGUUAAUGAUAUCAUGAAGUAAAUUGAUAUGAGUUGAAGAUAUAAUUGUUCUUUUGAUUUAUUUUUUAGGAUUGGUGAAACAUUUGCACGUGUGUUGCAUUUAUAAAUUGUUGGGAGAGUGUUGAUGCAUACAUUCUUGGUUGUGGAUGUUAUGCUUUGUUGAAUACUUGUUGAAAGAGAAAUUUUUUGACAUUGACAAAGUCUAAAGUUAGGUAAUCUUUGUUGGGAGAAUAUUUUAAAUUAUUCUACAAUACCUAUUCACCUCCCACUAGGUGUAUUCCAUUAUUGAGAUUUAUCGUUUCAUGUUGCAUGUGUAGGGAAAUGAAGAGAUGGUUGUCCUCUGCAUGUGCAAGUGUGGUCUCUAUUUGGGUUGGGCUUGGGUGGUAAUGAUGUCAGUAUUAAAGGUGUGUGAUAGGUGGCGCCGGAGAUUGGUGAGGGAUAGGAAAGAUGCAUGAAUUAGUGUGUUUUGUGUAAUGGAGUGCAUUUAGAGGGAAAGUAGAAAAAGCCACGAAUGUGAGGAGCUUUCCACCACAUUAAUGCCUGUUAAAAAAUUCCAAGUGCAGGCAGCAAAUCUAUGCCUUACAACGGGAAAGGGGGUCCCUUACCCACCAGGACAAUUUUAACCUUCUUAUUACUAUUUUAAAUACUUUUGAGUAGUAGUUAAUACCUUUUAACUCAAUUGGCACAUUAAGGAACCUAGCAAGGGUUACUACUCAGUUUUUGGCAAGUUUUGGUGUUUUUGGUAGCUAUUUGAUCAUUGAAACAAGCCAAGAAUGAGGGAGAAUUUUGUGAAAUCCAUGGCAAUACUAGUUAAAGCUCAAAUACGUGAAGAAUCCAACCUUUAGAGCACUUCAUAGCCCUUUGCCAAGCCAAUCAGAGAUGCAACGAAGAAAACCAAAGGAAGAAAUCUAACAACUAGCAUUUUCGAAUGGCUGUGCAAAAUUUCGCACACCAUGUGAAACCACUUGAGGUAGCCAAAGGAUUUCACACACCAUGCCAAAUUUCGCAUGGUAUGCGAAAUCUUCCUGUGCACCGACUCUAUUAGAUUUUUAUCUUUAGAUAUUUUGUGUAAUUUCCUAGUUUCUCCUUGUAACCAACCUAGAUAUUUUCUUUUAUAUAUUUUUAUUUAUCUUUUAGGUAGCAUAUAUAUAAAGGGAGAGACAGAGAAAGAAAAAAAAGAUGUAUGUUUUUCAUUAAACACUUGCAAAUUCUCGUAGUAAGAAAUAUAGAGAGCUUUUUGCUUUGCCUUUCAUUCUCAUUUUGUUUUCACUCUUCUUCCUAGCCAAACAACCUCUGAGGAUGAUUUCUCAGGGGAUGGGUGGCUAGGUUUUACGUUUCUUGGAGUGAUGAAACCUAGGUGAAGGACCCGAAUGCAAAGGUGGGAGUUGUCCUUGCUUUAAAUGAAAGUAGUUGUUAACCAUUAAUGGUUUUUAUUUCAAGGUUUAGCUUUAAAUCCCUUAAAAUCACCUUGAAUGGCCAAUACUUGGUAAGUUUUUCGGAUUCUAUGGAUGCUUAUUGCUAGAUCCAUGGAUGUCUAUUAGUUAUCAUUUACGAGCCAUUGGAAGGUGGUUCAAGGUUAGGGUUUUUAGGGUUUGAAUCCAUUAAUGAGAAGCAACUAUCAUUUUCCAUAAACCCCUUUGGAUCAAAUCUUAAUUGCUAAAUGCAAAACCGGUUCGAGAGAUAACCAUCCUUUAUGUUAUUAUCCCCAACGCGAGGAGAAGAUCCAGAAUCUUCCCCUUUGCCUAAGGAACCCGAUCCUAGUGACCUAAAGCUCCAAGAGACCUUUUCUUUAUAGUUAAUUUCACUUAUUGUUUUUGCUUAACUUAAAAUCAAUCUUUGCAACCACAAUUCCAUUUUCUUUAAAAGCUAAUUUUCGUAAGAAUAAACACCAUUUUAUUUCCUUCAUUUAAGUCAAUUGUACGAUGAAAACCCAUCCCUGUGGACGAUCAUAGAGCCACUAUACUAUGUCAGCUAUGCUACCCUAGUGUGAGGUGAUUUAGGUUUUAUAAAUUUUUUUGAUAACACCGGUUUGAGCCAGAAUCAAAUGGCAUGACUGCAAUGGAGACGAAUCAAUUCCUUUAGGGGGAUGUGACAUGGUGUUGGGGAUAUAAUGGCUAGCUUAGUUAGCACUAAUCUUAUAGGAUUUGAAAAUUUUGUAGAUGGAGUUUAGUUAAAAUGGGAGGAGUUUAGUGUUUCGUUAAGCUACAAUGGGUCCCUUGAAGUUGGUUUUGGCCACACACAUGGAAAAAGAUCUUAAACAUACACUAAAAAUUGUUGUUGCCCAUAUUUUCUCGAUGCAAUUAGAGUUAGUUACAUAUGAGUUAGCCAAUGAGGCCUUAGUGGAGAAGAUGCUAAAAGAGUUGCAAGGGCUCUUAAAAAAAUAUGAAGACAUAUUCUUUGAACCCAAGGGCUUGUCUCCAUCAAGAUCUCAAGAUCACCAUAUUCCAUUAUUGUCUAGAAGUGUUCCCCCAAACAUUAGACCAUAUCAUACCCUUAUGUGUAGAAAGAAAAGAUUGAAAAAUUGGUCAAUGGGUUGCUUGCAGCUGGUAGCUUCCAAAAGAGCGUUAGUCAUUUUUCUUCACCAGUUUACUUGUGACGAAAAAAACACGAGUUAGCGAAUGUUUGUGGAUUAUAGGGCACUGAACAACAACACAAUCAAGGAUAAGUUUCCUAUACUAGUGAUCGAUGAGCUAUUGGAUGAAUUACAUGGGGCUAAGUUCUUCUCAAAGUUGAAUUUGAGAUCAUGUUACCACCAAAUUGAAGUACACAUUGAUAAUAUCCACAAAAUAGCUUUCCGAACUCAUGAAAGGCACUAUGAGUUUUUAGUCAUGCCCUUUGGUUUGACGAAUUCUCCUUCAACAUUCCAAGAUAUUAUGAAUGAAAUUUUCAUGCCUUGAGAAAGUUUGUGUUGGUAUGUGAUCAUAUUUUGGUGUUUAGUUAGAGUUGGGUUGAGCAUUUGGAACAUUUGGAAAUUGCGUUUGAGAUCUUGCUUCAAAAUCAACUGUAUGCUAAGAAAUCAAAGUGUUCAUUCGAUAAGGAAUAGUUAGAAUAUUUGGGACACUUAUUUUUGUGUAAGGGGUGGAAACUGAUCUGGCUAAGAUUGAAUGUUUCAAACAGUGGCCUAUACCUAAUUCUUUGAAGUCUUUACAGGGAUUUUUGGGACUCAUAGGUUACUAUAAGAGAUUUAUAAAAGAUUAUGGGAAAGUUAUUCGGCCCUUAACAGAUUUACUUAAGAAGGAUAAUUUUUUCUAGAGCAAGGGAGUGGAGAUGCAUUCAACAACUUGAAUACAACCAUGUGUACAAUUCUUGUCUUAGCAAUGCCUAAUUUUUAGAUGGACUUCAAAAUCGAAUAUGAUGAAACAAAUAGGGGAAUUGAAGUAGUAUCAUCACAAGAAAGACGUCCUGUGGCUUAGUUGAGUAAAUGUAUGUCACCCAAACAUCUUGGCAUGCCUGUAUGAAAAAAAGAUGAUGACAGUCAUAUAUGCAGUGCAAAAAUGGCAUCCUUAUCUUAUAGGGAGGCAUUUCAAGAUAUACAUUGAUCAUUUAAGCUUAAAGUAUAUGCUGGAACAAUACAUUUCUAUUCUAAUGCAGCAAAUAUAGCUUUCUAAGGUUAUUGGUUAUGAUUUUGAAGUAUAUUUUAGAUGUGGGAAAGAGAAUAAGGCCACUGAUUUGUUGUCUAGAAUGGAUGAAUCCUCUGAAAAAGGGACAGUGAUGGCUAUUUCAUUUUUGUUGGCUGACUGGGUGGAACAACUUAAGCAAGAAUGGCAGCAGGAUAUGGAAAUUCAGAAAUUAAUCCAGGAAAUACUAUCAAACCCAGGUUUUCACUCCAAGUUCAAUUGAAAACAUGACUUCCUCGAGUACAAAGGAAGGCUAUGGCUAGGCAAGAGUUCAAACCUGAAACCUAUUAUACUUAAAGAGGCUCAUGCAGGUGUAGAAAGAGGACAUUCUGGUGUAAAAAAAACUUGGGCAAGAAUUCGAUGUCUUUUUUAUUGGAAAAAGAUGCGUAAAGAGAUUGACAUAUUUGUGGCAGAAUGUGACAUAUGUCAGAGGAACAAACAUGAAAAUGUUUCUUACCCUAGGCUGCUACAACCAUUACCCAUUCUUAAGCAAGUUUGGAUGGACAUAUCCAUAGAUUUUAUAGAAGGAUUACCUAAGUGACAUGGUAAGCAAGUCAUAUUUGUGGUGGUAGAUAGAUUAAGUAUGCCCAUUUCAUGCCUAUAAGCCAUCCUUAUAAUGCUUUGGAUGUUGUACAAUCAUUUGUGGAUAGUAUCUACAAACUACUUGCCUUAUCAAAGUGAUCCUAUUUUUACUAGUGACCAGGAUCCUAUUUUUACUAGUAACUUUUGGCAAGGCUUAUUUUCUUAGCUGAAUGUUGGUUUAAUGAGGAGCACUGCUUAUCACCAUCAAACUGAAAUGGUUAACAAGUGCUUAGAGUAGUACUUAAGGCGUAUGACGGGUGACAAACCAAAAGAGUGGACUAAAUGGCGUCCCUUGGUUGAGUGGUGGUAUAACACUUCCUACCAUUUAUCUACUCAACUAACACCUUUUGAAGUUGUUUAUGGUCUACCACCCCCUACUUAUGUUACUUAUAUACCAAGUGAGUCUAGUGUUGCUAUUGUUAACCAAAGUUUAAGGGAUUGGGAUGUCAUGAUACGACUAUUCAAGGCUAACCUUUAUAGACCCUUCAUUUUGUCCCCUUAGCACAUGUCCUAUUGAGUGCUCUUUUAGUACUCCACAGUAGUUCCCUAGUGGCCCAUUGACACUCACGCAACUUCUUUUUAUGAGCCACCUAUAAGGACCCUUGGUUCAAGGGCUCAUUUGGACCCUCACUAUGACCUUGGUCGCCCUUCGAGUUUAGGUUAGGUUUCACUUAGAUCAUUUUCCACUUAGUUCACCUUUUAGGUUAGAUUUCACUUGGACACUUUUUAGGCUUAGGUCACUUAGAUGCUUUGUUUUAGUUCACUAAAUUUUUUGGUAAGUGUUUUUUUUAAAGUGUUUUUAAUAUAAAUUUUUUAGGGGUAUGUAUGUAAAUAUAACUUUGGUGAGUUAAUUGUUUAAAGAGUUUUAAUAUAAAAUUUUUAGUGGUAUGUACGUAAAUAUAAUUUUGGUAAGUUAAUUGUUUAAAGUAUUUUAAUAUAAAAUUUUUAGUGGUAUAUACGUAAAUAUAAUUUUUGGUAAGUUAAUUUUUUUUAGAAGUGUUUUUAAUAUAAAUUUUUAGUGAUAUGUAUGUAAAUAUAAUUUUGGUAAGUUAAUUGUUUAAAGUGUUUUAAUAUAAAAUUUUUAGUGGUAUGUACGUAAAUAUAAUUUUUAGUAAGUCAUUUUUUAAAAAGUCUUUUUAAUAUAAAUUUUUGUACGUAAAUAAAAUUUUUGAUAAGUUUUUUUCUAAAGGUUUUAAUAUAUAUAUUUUUCUUAAUGGUUAUGUGCAUAAUUUGAGACACCACUUUCCAUUGUAAAUAUUAAACUAUUUUCAAAAGCCACUUUCCAAUAUAAAAUUUUAAAAAAUCUCUUUCCAUUAUAAAUAUCAAAGCAGUUUCCAUAUGAAAAGAAAAGAAAACAUGCUACCAUAUUCAUAUAGGAUAUUCUCCCAUAAAUUUUUUGUAAUUAAAUUUACAUUCUAGCUACUUUUUUAGAAUUUGUUUUGUGAAGACUCCUAUUUUUUAUUGCAUGCUGAUGACUUGUACUGUACUUGACAUGUUAUUUAUUCUGAAGCUAUUUGACAUAUCUUGACUUAACUUUUUGGUUUGUAUUUUGUAACAUAGACAUGAUAAGGUUGUUGUAUAAUAUAUAUAUAUAUAUAUAUAUAUAUAUAUAUAUAUAUAUAUAUAUAUAUAUAUAUAUAUAUAUAUAUAUAUAUAUAUAUAUAUAUAUUUGGAUGAGAUAUUGCUUUUAGAUAUUUAUUUAGAAUUUUUCUUAUGAAUGUCUCUAUUAUGAGUUUGCUGAGUGUUUGAAAUAAGUUAUCCAUUUUGACAUCUUUAGUUCACUUGUAAAUUAAUCUAACUUCGGUUUUAUGUUAUAAACAUGUCAUACAGGAUAGAUAAGCUUUUAUUUAAGUCUUAGGAUCACUUUUGGUAUUUUAUGUGGUUUCAUUUGGUAAUUGCAUGUUUAUUGGAAGUAUGGGCCUUGGUGUUGUGUAUUAUUUGAAUUUCGUAACUCUUAAUUCAAUUUGUAAUACAUCAUGUAGAAUAUGAGGUUUUGAUUAGGUUAAUUAUUACUUCUUGUAAGCUAACCCUCUUCUAGCUAUAUAUAAGCGCAUUGUGAGUUGUGUAUAGGGAUGGUAAUGGAGCGGGUUUGGGACGGGUUGCCCCCAUCCCAACCCCGCCCCGUUUAUUCAAAGUAAUUCCCAUCCCCGUCCCAUUUAAAAAAUUAAACGAGGCAAGGCGGGGCGGGUAUGAUAAAUUCUCAUACCCGCCCCACCCCGUCCCGCCCCGUUUAACUUUUUUUUUGGAAUUUUAAUUUUUUUUUUAAAAAAUUACUUUUAAAAUUUUAAUUACAUUAAAAUAAAUAUAUUUUAUAAAUAAUUAAAUUAUUAUAUUUUUAAUAACUUAUUUGACUAAAAAUAUUUUAUUAUUAUCUAUAUAUUAAAAAUAGUAAAAUAAAAAUUAAAUUAAAUUAAUUUUAAAAUUUAAUUUUAUAUAUAAUCGGGGCGGGACGGGGCAAUACUCAAACCCACCUUGGGUUUUAAAAAAAUUUUCCAAACCCAUCCCAAACCCAUUUAUUAAAAUUGAACCCCAUCCCAUUAGGGACGGGACGAGACGAGUAUCCGAAAAAACCCGUCCCAUUACCAUCCCUAGUUGUGUAUGCAUGCUAUUUAGGUAUGUCCCUUGCACUUCCUACUUCUUUAAUUUUGUAAAUAUGUAGACCUUGUUUGUAAUCUUUUUAAUGUAUGAUAUUGUUUUGGUUGCUUAGAUUAUCGCUUGAUUAUUUGAAUGGAUUGAAUGCAUGUUGUAUGCUAUAUUUGUUAAACUAACUUUGAAUGUUUUCAUGAAAGCUCUUUGGGAUGUAGCUCAAACACGCCAAUCUCCUUGUCCUAUAUGGGUGUUUCGGUAGCACUUAGGAAUUCUCCAAAAAUUUGAAGUGCUAAGGACUAUGAAAGGUCACUUACCCUCAAAAAUGUCACCCCAAACUCUUCAAAAUAAGGUCCAAUUUCUUGGUUUUUUAUUUUAUUUGACUGAUAACUAGUUCUAAGCUUUUUUAUAAAGCAUAAUUUUAGUGACUCAUAACCAGAGUUGCUUACGUGCAUCAAGAUUUAAAGAAAAAAAUGCCAUGACCUUCCUUAGGAUAAGAGCUCAACCUCUCUGAACAAGUCAUUGCUUUUUUAUCCUAACUCUUCAUUUUCUACCUCCAAGUAUCUUCUUCCAAGAAAAGGAAACAAAUUCUAAGGACAUGUUACGCAUAGUGUAUGAAUUGAGUUUCAAAUAGAUAUUAAAGUUAAAAAAUUUGUUUCAAAGGAUCUUAAGACUUCAACCUAACAAUAUUAGCAUUCAAGUGUAUAUCUAAGAGAGGUAAAUCAAUUACCCAAGAAUAUAUCUUCUUCUAAUGCUAAUAUCCUUCACUCUCUUGAAAAGCUUAAAAAGUUAGAAAAAUUUUGCUGGUUAUUUUCCUUGAACUUAAAAUGCACAUUGUCCUCAAAAUGCAAUGUAUUGAUACGGUUAGGGGAAGUUCCUGAUACUAUAAAUGUUGCAAACUUCUAUAAAGAAAAAGAUUCUAUACAACUUGCAUAUGUAUUAAUAUACUACAUUAGUUAAGAAAAGUUACUAAUACGAUAUAUAUUGUGGACUUUUCUAAAGAAAGAGAUUCUAUACAACUUGCAUGCCCAUAUUUUCUUUUCUAAUCUCCUUCGCUGCGUAACUUCUAGCCAUGUAGCUCACUUCUAACGAUGUAACUUCUUGCCAUCUAGCCAUAAUUUUUUAUAUCAAUAAGAGUUUAGGAGUGAAUCUUUUAAUGUUAAUUACUUACAAAAAUGAUGUAUUUAAUAAAAUUUUAAAAAAUUUAAAUAGCACGUGUUUUUUCAAAAAGUAAAAAUAUUUUUAAUAUCUAUACACAUGCAUACAUAUAUAUAUAUAUAUAUAUAUAUAUAGUACUUUUAUGAAAGAAACCACGCUCAAACAGAGAGGAAUAUUUUAUUGUAACAUCACAAUAUUAUUAUUAUUAGGUAUUGUCAAUGUUGAGGGGUUGGUCCGGCAGAAUUAAUAAACGAACCUUUCUAGCAGGGCACAUAAGAUGGUAUUCCUAAUCACCCUCUUUUAGAUACAACAUAACCAGCAAGGAAAUAGCUGCAGCAGCAGAUGGCACAACAAGAAGCGAGAAUUGGGAGUCCAAAGGCAGGUGGUAGUACAGCAUACAACCCAGUCAUGAAUGCUACCACCAUUGCUUCCAUCCCAAACACGAUGAGAAUAUAGCCACAUAGAAAGAAGCGUCCAUGCACUUUCCCACCCAAAUGAAAGGCCGUUGCCAUAAGAAAAUAGAACCAUAGAGCACCUACUGAGAGGAUCAUCGCUAUGGUAUCUGACGCAACAAAUGCUUUGAAAGAUGCUUUCUUUGUCGCGAUAACCACCAGGCAAGGUGAAACCUGCCGCAAAGGUUACGGUUGCUAUAAGUGCUGCCACUAUCAAAUGGGUUUCACCUGCCUUCUUAAGGAAGAGAGAUGUUUAUCUUCAUUGGCGUGGCCUUCUGCUGCGGCCUUGUACAAAGUAUCAUCCAUGCAUGCGAUCUCAGCUUGGCUACCAUCUUCAGCUGCACCAUGGUGGUAGCACUGGGUUUGCCCAUUGUAGUUUAAGUUAUAUGUACUCAAUUUGCACCUCUCUUUUAAGUAUUCCUCUUAAUGGUAAGAGUCUUCCAUGUGCGUUAUAAAGGGUUAGGCAGAUACCAAUAGAACGCCUUCAAGCAAUAGUAUACAUCUAACCAAAUAUCAUUCCAAGACGUUAAAUUCAUAGUCCAAACUAUAUAUGAAAAAUCUCAAUACUCAGCACACAUAUACACCUUCGGUCAACAUGAAUUCCACCACUAACCUAUAGACUAUUUAUUUUAUACCAAUAUUACUAUCAUUAUUAACCAACUAAAACUUCACAUAAUCAGGAGAGAAAUGAAACACAACGUAUAUGCAUGAAAUCACAUGAAAAUUUCUAAGUUUUCUUCCAAAAAUAUAAAAUAAUGAUUUUGGUAACAAACUACCCUACCAAAAUCUAAAAAUCUAAAUUUAAAAUUAAACUCUAAACAUUUUUUUUUUUGGGAAUAGACUUAAAAAACAAUUCUAAAAAACUGUUUUUGAAAAUAGUUUUCUAAAAUUUUUUUAUAAUGUUUUGUUUAAAAAAAUAUAUGUUUAGGAAUUUAAAAUGUUUUUAACUUAUUUUUAAUAUUUUAAAAUAUGUUUGAGAAAUAAUUUUUAUGCUUAGUACUUUAUUUUUAAUUAUUUUGUAUUUGUAUAAUUAUUUUUUAAACAAUCGUUAGAAAACAAGUGAAAAUACUUUGAAAACAUGUUUUAUGUUCUUAAGAACAAAAGGAAACAAAAAAAAAAAAACUAUUUUUUAGUUGUUAAACGCAUUUUCCUAUUCUUUUUAUUUAAAAUUAUUUUUGAAAACAAUUAUCAAAUAGAUCCUAACUUUUUAUUUUUUUAUUUUACUUUUCCACAUUUCCAAUGUCCAUCCGUCAUCUCACAUUAAAUCUCAAAACAUUUCCUAUCUAAAUUAUUGUAAUCCCAAAAUUCAAGUAUAUGAUUUCAUAAUUUCCCUCAAUUAAAUUUUGUUUUAUUUAAUAGUUUUAAUUUAACUUCUUAGCAAUAUGACAUAAUAUGAGUUGUCCUAAUUUUUCCUAAAAGGUUCAUUGACAAUUAUCUAAUAAUAAGUAAAUUAAUUUUCAAUAAUGUACUCAACUUUAAAUUUUCAAAAUCCAAAAUUUCACCAUAAAAAAUUGACAUGGCAAAAAUUCAAACCAUUGAAUUUUGAAAAGCUUCUUCAAGCCCAAUUAAAUAUUGACACGUAAAUUUUCAUCAUUCUUUUUUAUUAUUUAGCUGACAAUUUUGAGAAAAAUUUUGUAAACCCUACAUAUGAAGUAAGACUGAAAACCCGGAUAUUACAUGAAUACAAGCCACUGAAAUCAUAAUGAAAGAUAUGACAGAAGAAGCAUGCACUAUGUAAUUUAUCAAGCUAGGAGACUAAGAAUUAAGCUCAUAUCCUACUCAAAAUUCACCCAGAAUCAUUCUUAUAUACACACAUGAAAAUAUAUAUUAAUUAAAGGGCCGUGCCAUAUGGGAAGACCUUCCAUUAAUUUCACGGUUGUAAUAUGAGUAGAUGGCAUCCCACCAAGCCCUCUAGCUUUUUUGAAAUUGUUUAAAUACAUGAUAGAAGACGAGGAAAAAGCAGCAGCAGAGGACACAAACAGGGAUGGGAAGCCAAGAGAAACGUGGUAGCACAGCGUACAUGCCAGUCAUGAAUGCCACCACCAUUGCUCCCAUGCUAAACAUGGUGAGAAAAAAGCCCCAAGGUAAGUGUUUGUGGAGAAGCUCCUCUUUUUCAUACCCAGCCAUAAAAAAGUAAACAAAUGCAGCGGAUACAGAAGAAACCAUGGCUAAAGUAUCCGCGACAACAAAUGCUUUGAAAGCUUCUUUCUUUCCUAGGGUUGCCAGGCCAUCAUUUUCAUUGUAACCACCAGGCAAGGUGAAGCCAGCUGCAAAGGUUACAGUUGCUACCAGUGCUGUCACAAUUAAAUGAGUUUCACCUACUUUCUUCAAGGUAGAGAUGGAAUUGCUUCCACUACUACCUUUGUCUUCUCUGUCCCUCGUGACCUCUUUGUCCCUUGGGACCUCUCUGUCCCUCGGCACCCAACUUAAAGGUCCAAUACCCGCUUCCUUACUUGUGUUGAAGCAAGCCAUGACUAAUUUCUGAAAUUUUAACAAAAUAAAAACUCUACUUAUGGUUAGAGUUUGACAUGCAUGGACUUCAUCUACAAUUAAAUAAAAAUAAUAUUAAAAUGAAAAUUUGGUUUCCACAUGAGUUUGUAUUGAAGCAGUCAAUAGCCUUGUCUAUGUUAUUGUCAUAUGUUACUAUCACGUGAAUUAAUUUUGAAUCAGUCAAAAUUAGGCAAGUAAAAAUAUCAUAAAAAAUUAUAUAUGUAUGUAUGUAUUUACUUACAUGUGUAUGAAUGUAACCGGUCAUAUGAAAUCAAGUUAGAGAUCAACUUUACCUUUUGCAGCCCAUUGUCGGUGGCUCUUGAAACCAUGUCCUUGGGGGUUAAGUUUUCAUUGUUGAGCCCCAUCUUAUCCACUUUAUCGUCCAAUACAAAAUUUUCAUCAUCAAUUAGGUAAGAAGCAAGCAGGUGGAGGGGUGUGUCUCCUUGAGCAUCUCUCUCAUUUAAAAGUCCUCUCACUCUUAAUCCAUCAUUUUGUAAAAACAUCCUAGGAUAAUAAUC
RNAcentral lists this long non-coding RNA (60934 nucleotides) under Vitis vinifera (wine grape). Its description in RNAcentral is "long non-coding RNA (VVIN_LNC001589)". Lineage: Eukaryota; Viridiplantae; Streptophyta; Magnoliopsida; Vitales; Vitaceae. The record is from RNAcentral.